RNAcentral lists this long non-coding RNA (50950 nucleotides) under Citrus x clementina. Its description in RNAcentral is "Citrus clementina (C. clementina) long non-coding RNA (CCLE_LNC001321)". The record is from RNAcentral. Lineage: Eukaryota; Viridiplantae; Streptophyta; Magnoliopsida; Sapindales; Rutaceae.
UGGAAAUAACUAUAACUCAGGCUUUAGCAACAAUGGUCACUACAAAGGAAACUUUGGUACUGAGUUUGCUGGUACUGGUUUUAACAAGCAGUUCAAAGGAUAUCAAUCCAGUAAUCAGAGAGGAGGAGGUAAUUGGAAUAACAACAAUGGACCAAGUAACUUUAACAGUGGCAAACCAUCCAUGAAUCCUAAGCCACAAUGGAAUGCAUCAAAGCCUACCUGUCAAAUUUGCCUCAGGCCUGGACACACUGCAAAUAUUUGCUGGAAACUUGAAGAGUUUAUUACUUCAAGUGCUUACAGACCACCACCAAAUAGAGGACCAAAGGCAGCUUAUCUAGCUAACAUGGAUGCUCCAGUUGACAACAAUUGGUAUCUGGAUAGCGGAGCCACACAUCACCUCACAAAUGACAUGAAUAAUGUGAAUGGAGCUGAACCUUUUGCAGGUAAUUCUAAACUUAUUGUUGGAAAUGGUGUUGGUUUGUGCAUAACACAUAUAGGUUCUGUUGUUCUAAGAAUGCUUGAUGCCCUGAAUUAUUCUGAUCUUAAGCUAAACAACAUUCUACUUGUUCCAAAAAUAACCAAAAACCUGAUAAGUAUUUCCCAAUUAACCAAAGAUAAUAAUAUUGUGGUUGAAUUUACUAAUAGUUUCUGUUUUGUGAAGGACAAGGUGAAGAAUUCAGUUAUGUGUAGAUUACUGUGUGUUUCCUCAACCAAGUCCUCUACUUUACAGUCAAACCAAGGUCUUCUUACUCAUGUCGAGUCAGCUGUUUCAAAUCAGCCAAUUUCAAUGUUUUCAAUUGUUGUUUCAAAAUUUCCAAAUAAAACUGCUUGCUGUUUGCAUACAGAAGCACUAUGUUAUCAAACUCCAAGUUGUAUGUUGAAUACUAUGGUUUUGCAUCAGAGACUAGGUCAUCCUAAUACUAAGGUGCUUAGUCAUGUAAUCAAUUCUUGUUCUUCUUUAAAGAAUAUGAGUGGUAAUAAAACAAUUGAUUCUUGUGAUGCUUGUAAGAUGGGAAAAAUACAUAAACUUCAUUUUCCUAUCACUGAAACCAAAACCAAAAAUCCUUUGGAACUUCUACAUACUGAUUUAUGGGGACCCUCUCCUACACCUUUUAUCCAAGGGUACAAAUACUAUGUUAGUUUUGUGGAUGACUUCACAAGGUUCACUUGGAUUUUCCCUUUCAAAACCAAAGCUGAUACAUUUCAAGUGUUUAAAAUCUUUAAAGCUCAGGUGGAAAAACAAUUGGAUAAGCCUAUUAAAUGUCUUCAGUCAGAUUGGGGUGGGGAAUACAGAUCCUUUGUUCAUUUUCUUCAUGAAACAGGAAUCCAAUUUAGACAUUCAUGCCCUUAUAUACACAAUCAAAAUGGCCUUGUAGAAAGAAAGCAUAGGCACAUCACUGAGUUGGGUUUAAUUUUACUUGCACAAGCUAAAUUACCCAUCAAAUUCUGGUGGGAUUCUUUUCAUACAGCCACUCACAUUAUUAACAGAUUACCAACUCAUGUCCUUUCCAUCAAAACUCUCUAUGAAUGUCUCUUUCAUUUGCUACUUGAUUAUCUUUUUUCUCAAAACUUUUGGUUGUGCGUGUUUCCCAUUCUUAAGAGAUUACAAUCAUCACAAUUUUGAUUUCCAUACAUCCAAGUGUGUCUUCCUAGGAUACAGUUCAUUACACAAAGGUUAUAAGUGUCUUCAUUCAUCAUGGAAAAUUUAUAUAGCCAGCCAUGUUCUUUUUUAUGAAACUUCUUUUCCAUACUCUACCGAUUCACAUUUUUUGAAGUCCUUACCACCUAAGGUUUCUGACUUUCAAUACAGCUCUCUACAAUUUUACAAUAUUUCAGUUCCUCAUAGCAAUCUAAAACAUUUUGAAGCUGCUGCAGCAGACACUGAUUCUCAUACUUCUAGUUCUAAUCACAAUAUCAUGUUACCUUCCUCUUCUACUCAUCAUGUUUCUUCUACUGAUACCACAUCAUCACCUAUUAUUCACACCACAUCUCCUAUCACAACUCCAAACACUACAUCUUCACCCAUCAUCCAUCACCAUUCUCCAUAAUCUCCUCUAACACAUCAGAUUCUUUUACACACAUCACCUUCCAGACCAUCUUUAUCCUCUGCUCAUCCUAUGAUUACCAGAGCCAAAGCUGGUGUCUUCAAACCUAAGGCAUUCUUAACAGCACAUAAUAGCUUAGAGCCUUCUAGUGUUGAUAAAGCUCUAGUUGAUCCUAAGUGGCAAGCUGCAAUGCAACUGGAACAUGAUGGACUUAUUCAAAACAAAACCUGGAGUCUAGUUCCAAUGGAUCAAGCUCAUAAAUUGGUGGGUUGUAAGUGGGUUUUCCGAACAAAGUAUAAUCUCGAUGGCUCAGUCUCUAAGUAUAAAGCUCGGUUGGUUGCUAAGGGUUUCCAUCAGACAGCUGGGGUUGACUAUUCAGAAACUUACAGUCCUGUAGUUAAGUCUUCCACUGUCAGAGUUAUAAUGAGCUUAGCAGUCAUGCAAGACUGGAAUGUUAGACAAAUAGACAUCAACAAUGCCUUUCUUAAUGGGGAUCUCACUGAAGAUGUGUACAUGCAACAGACAGAGGGCUUUGUUUCAGAGGGAGGCUACAUCUGCAAGCUAAACAAAGCUCUUUAUGGUUUAAAACAUGCACCAAGGGCCUGGUAUGAUAAACUUAAGGGCUGUCUUACAGAUUGGAAUUUUACAAAUUCUAAGGCUGAUACCUCAUUGUUUAUUAGGCAUGAUAUUAAAGGCAUAAUCCUUGUUUUGAUCUAUGUAGAUGAUAUUUUAGUCACAUGACCAGAUUCAAUCUUGCUGAAGGCCUUCAUCACAAACUUGAGUAAAGUAUUUGCCUCAAAAGACUUAGGUCUGGUUUCAUACUUCCUUGGUAUAGAAGUCAGCUACACAGAUCAUGGAAUACAUCUCUCCUAAACUAAGUAUAUCAAGGAUUUGCUAGCUAAAGCAUUAAUGCAGAACUGCAAAGAGACAGAAACUUCUUUCAGCACAUGCUACAAAUUAGAAAGAACAGCUAAAGGCAUAUUGGGUGCAGAGUUUGAAAAUCUAACUCUCUACAGAAGUAUAGUUGGAGGACUUCAAUACUUGAUCUUAACCAGACCAGACAUUGCCUAUUCAGUACAUAAACUCAACCAGUAUCUAAGUGCCCCAACUCUCCAACAUUGGUUAGCUUGUAAAAAGGUGUUGAGAUAUUUACAAGCAACUAUUACACAUGGUUUUUAUAUUCAGCAAGAUGGGACUUUGGAAACAAUUGGAUUGACAAGGUAUUCAGAUGCUGAUUGGGCGUGUGAUAUUGAUGACAGAAAAUCCAUUGGAGCUUACUGCAUUUUCCUUGGUAAUAAUCUAGUUUCCUGGUCUUCGAAAAAGCAAGCUAUUGUAGCAAAGUCCAGCACUGAAAGUGAAUAUCGAGCAUUGUCAGCAGCAAGUUCAGAGCUUACUUGGCUACAAUCCUUGUUUUCUGAGCUGAAGAUUAUCAAGUUGCCAACUCCUGUUCUCUGGUGUGAUAAUCAUAGUGCAGGUGAUCUAGCUAAAAAUCCAGUAUUUCACUCUAAGUCUAAACAUAUAGAGCUGGAUGUUCAUUACAUUAGAGAUAAGGUUCUAAAUAAGGAGUUAGAAGUGAGGUACAUUCCCACUGAAUAGCAAGUGGCAGAUGUUCUUACUAAGCCUCUGUCAUUUCCAAAGUUUAGCUAUUUUCGUUCCAAGCUCAAUGUGAUCAACAGACCCUUGAGCUUGAGAGGGGAUGUCAAGGAAGCUCAUGUGAGCUAAAUAGUCAGCAAAGCAGAGAAUUACAACAGCAGCAGCUCACAGCUACAAGUUGAUGAUUUGGCAUGCCAGCUAGCACCUGGUGGUUAUAUAAUUUCUUGUACUCGUGACUGUUAGUUACAGUUAGUUAAUAAGCUGCUGCAUGAUCAGCAUGUGAGAUUAGUUUAGCUCAUAGUUGAUUAGUUACGUGAGUAUAUAAAGAAAAGUCUGUACAUUUCCUCUGUAAUCUUGUUGAAAGAAAUAAAAACAAAUUCUCAAAUUCUUAUCAUUUUCUCUCAAUAUUUCUUGUCUUCCAAACAAGUUGUUUUCUCACUGUCAUUAAACAACUCAGGAACCAUGUUCAUUCUUAUCUGUUCGUUAAACCUAAUAAUUUAAUAGACUUUGAAUAAUGCCUGAUCCAGCCGAUGAACAAGAACGCCAUUAGUUAAAAUUUUAUGGAAAAUAUUCAUGUAUUGUCAUAUAUGCAGCCCACCUAUAUUGUUGUUAUUGUGGUCCACGGCCAAUGCGUAGAAUUACUUGCCGAACAUAAUUUAACAUUUUUAACUUAGACGUACGUUAGGUUAAAGACAGAAGCACAGAGAGUACGUACGUGUUAGUGGUUCAGGUAAAAUUAGUUCUGAGAAAAAUGUCACGGGCGACUCUGUUAUUUGGGAUGCAAUUGUUUCUUGUGGCUCCCAUGUUCUCAAUUUAUUCUUUUUUUUUUCUUUUUGAAGUGUUUUACAAGGCAUAAUUGAAAAAAAAUAAUUCACAUGCUCUCUGAACUCUGAAGUUGGUCAUUUUAAUUACCCCGAUUUCCAUUUCCAAGCGGUGGGCUCACAGGUUGUAGUUCAACGAAUAAUUUUAUUAGUAUUCUGGUCCAGUUUCAAAGUCAAGUUCUUACCUAAAUUUCUAAACAUUAUUACUUCAAUUUGCACACGAUUUGCUCGAUUGCGUUAGAAAAAUCUUUCUCUAAAAUGGCUUGUUCGACACGCUUCCUUUGUUUUUCUUCGGGAGCUGCAUUUAAUCAUUAAAAAAAUUAUAAUAAGAUAUAUUUGACUUAGUUUUAUUACAAAACUAGAAAAUAGAACCGCGCUUCACGCGACUUUGAAAAAAGAAUUUAGUAUUAUCUUUUUUUUUUUACUUUACACUUGAUGAAACUGAUAAAAAAUAUGAAUUAAUUUUUUUUAAAGAUGAGGCAGCCUUAUAAAAAAUUUAAAAAAAAAACUAUUAGCAAGCAAUACAAAUAACGAAGCAACGCAAGAUAAAAAAUAAAAUGAGAGAAUAUAUUAUAGAGUGAUUUUAUUCAUUCCAAUUGUGUGUGUACAAAAUAAAAAGAUGAGCUCUCCUUUUAUAGUUACAUAAUCACUCCAUGAAAUUAAUGAAAAAUUAUGAAUCAUAAUUCCUUGUGAGAUAGUGGGAGUUAUAUGAAAGCUAAAGGUUGCUAAUGUGAGAUAGUGGGGAAACUAAGAGAUAUAUGUUAUGAACAUUUAUAUUUAUUUUAAUAAAUUCAUAACACUCCCCCUUGGAUGUUCAUUAUAAAGAAUAUGUCUCAUUAAAAUCUUUACAUAAUUGUUAUUGUGUAAUAAUAAUCAAAUUAAUUAUGAGAAGAUGAAAAGCCAAAUCUAAAAGAAAAUUUCUCUAUUUAUUAGAUAAUAAAGAAUAUACAAAGAUGAGAAAUAGUGAUGCCACAUCACCUCCUCAAGUCCCAACUUUAUAUAUAUAUAUAGAUUAUUAAUUUUGCAAUUAUUAGUUUUAGGUAAAUAAUAAAAAGAAUAGAAUUAUACUUAUAAAAUCGUUUUUGUUAGAAUGCAUUAUAUACUUUUGUAAUUUUUAUAAUUGGAUUAGCAUACUGUAUUAAAUAGUUUUUUUUGUAAAUCAAUUUUUAGUGUUGUGGCCGACACCUCAUAAGAGAGAAUUUAAGUUUUUUUUUUAUAUGAUUGUGGAAGUAAUAUUUCUCUUGAUUUAAGAGUAGAUAUCUCCAUUUUAUAUUGGAUUUUCAAACCGAAUUUUAGAUGGAUUAUAUAAGGCAAGUCUCGGCGGACUUUUGAUUGUAAUAUAUAAAAAAAAUCAUAUAUUUUAUUUAUAUAGAAAAAAAAAAGGGGACAGAAGCGAAGAAAAUGAGAGAAAAUAUGACUUAUUUUUUUUACUUAAAAGUUUAACAUAAUUCUUGAACCAUUGAUUUCAAGCAGUUUAAUGAUAAAUAUUGAAAGUCAAAAUAUUAUUUAAUAAUAAUUAUUCAUUGACUAUUUAAGUCAAAAAUUUAAAUUAGAACAACCUAACCCAUUAUCUUUUUUAUAAUAAUUUAACUGGCAUGCAGUUACGGUAAUGGGAACUAAUAUCGAAACGUAAGGAGUAUCCUCAAUACUAAAACAUCGACUUUAGGGAGCUAAUAAUGGUUUUGUGAAUAAUAGGUUUUGCAUUAAUCAAUAAUAUUCACAUUUUCAAUGUUAAAAUUGUUAAUCGAUAUAUUUGACCAAUUGACUGCUUUAUCUUCAUUUUCUUCUUUUUCACCAUUCAAACGUGUUCAUUUGCUCUCAAGCUAGAUGUUCAAUUGCUUUAUGCCAUGGUGAUAAUAUUUUAUCUCAGAAAUGGAAAGAAAGUAAUUACCACCGAAAAAAAAAAAAUCCUAUAGUUGGCCUUGUUCAGCAGAUAUUUGAAUAUGUAUCAGCGUAUGUGGAGUAAAUACUUAGUGAAAUUGGCAUGUAUUUGACCUUUAUUAAUUUUCAUCUGGGCCGCUGAAUGUUUUUCGUGUUAUAUCUCUAGCGAGCUAUAUAUAUAUAUAGUGUUUCUUAGAUUCAGAACUAAAAUUCGGGGCAAUUUUACGGUAUUGUAAAUCAGUUUAAAAGAUUAUAAAAGUGGAUUUAUGAUAUCGUCGGAUUGGAAAUUUUUUCAAAUAUGUAAAUAUAAACUAAUUAAACAUAUUAUUAUAAGAAAAUAUUGAUCCUCAAACUUCGAUUUUCUCCAGAUAUGCCAUCAUUGUUUCAAGUAUCAAAGAACAUUAAGAGGACAACUCUGUUUCCAACAAUUUCAGCCCAUCAUUAUUUCAGGUAUAACACGCUUCAAGGACUGGUCAUUCUUCUUCAUUUGAUGUUUCUCCGACUGUCGGAGUUGAUUCAAAUAGACCUGCAACAUGCGACUGCCAUUGUUUGUCUAAAUUUUGGGCGCGGCAUUCGAUUAGAAUUUAAAAAUGAACAUAAAUGCCUUUUGGUCAUAUCUAUACUUUCCAAGGUUUUUCUCUGAAUAAUUGUCUAUAAUCGUCUGUUUCAAUGCUGACGUAGCUUUGCUGGCAAUAAAAUUCCAAAGAAAGUCUUUCUUUAAUAUUUCAGAGAAUAUGAUUCCCCUUCAUUGAAGCUUGCUGGACAUAUAAAUUACAGCUGGUAGUUGAAACUUGAACAUCAAGAAGUCAAUGCGUAGACUAAUUGUGCCUACCUAUUUAAAGGCCAGUUGAGUUUCCCGGACAUGUUGAACCUCCGCUUCAUGCUCUCUCCAUUUGUUACCAUGAUCAACAUAACUCUCUUCAUUUUCAUUGUUGUUCUUGUUCCCUCAGCCAAUUCUGUUUCCUUCCGGAUGUCUAGUUUUGACCCCAAUGGAAAAGAUAUAAUCUAUCAGGGAGACGCAGUACCUUCUGUUGGAGUCAUUGAAUUAAUAAACAGGUACCAAUAUGUAUGCCGUGUUGGUUGGGCUACUUAUGCUGACAGAGUGCCGCUCUGGGAUUCUGACACAGGUGAGCUUACUGACUUCAGCACCAAAUUCUCCUUCCAAAUAGACACCCAGAGUCGUCCCACUUACGGCCACGGGCUUGUAUUUUUCUUAGCUCCUGCUGGAUUUCAGAUUCCUCCAAACUCAGCUGGUGGGUUUUUAGGCCUGUUUAAUACCACAACUUCUUUCUCUUCUUCAAAUCAUAUAGUCCAUGUGGAAUUUGACACUUACUUCAACCGUGAAUGGGACCCUUCUGGCGUUCAAGACCACGUGGGAAUCAACAAUAACUCAAUUGCUUCAGCUGUCCACACCCGCUGGAACGCCAGCUUUCACAGUGAAGACACUGCUGAUGUGCGGAUUGCAUACAAUUCUACUACUAAGAAUUUGAGUGUGUCCUGGACCUACCGACAGACAUCUGAUCCUCGGGAGAAUACUAGUUUGUUUUACAUAAUUGAUUUGACGAAAGUUCUACCACAGUGGGUGACAAUUGGCUUCUCAGCUGCUACAAGCCAGUUUGGAGAGCGACAUAUACUUGAAUCGUGGGAGUUCAGCUCAAGCUUGGAUAUUAAAAGUACAAAUGGAACGGACGGAAAAAAGAUCAGGAUAAUAGUUGGUGUUACAGUUUCAAUUGGGGUUCUGAUAGCUGCAGCGAUAACGGGACUGUUGAUUUUGCGAAGGCGUAAGAAGAAGGAAAGAAAGUCUACCGCAGAGAGAGAGACCUUAACUUCCAUUAAUGACGACCUUGAAAGAGGCGCAGGACCAAGAAGAUUUUCAUACACAGAUCUUGCCUCUGCAACUAGCAACUUUGCAGAGAAUAAAAAGUUGGGCGAAGGAGGGUUUGGUUCUGUUUACAAGGGUUAUCUAAUUGAUUUGGAUAUGGCUGUUGCUGUCAAAAAAGUUUCAAGAGGAUCUAAACAAGGGAAAAAAGAGUAUGUAACAGAGGUGAAGACAAUUAGCCAGUUAAGGCAUCGCUAUCUGGUGCAACUCCUAGGCUGGUGCCAUGAUAGAGGCGAAUUCCUGCUUGUGUAUGAGUUCAUGCCAAACGGUAGCCUUGAUGCUCACCUGUUUGGCAAGAAGAGUCCUCUUGCUUGGGCUGUGAGGUACAGGAUUUCUCUUGGUUUGGCCACGGCUUUGCUCUAUCUUCAGGAAGAAUGGGAGCAAUGUGUUCUGCAUCGGGACAUCAAAUCGAGCAACAUAAUGUUAGAUUCUAAUUUUAACGCCAAAUUAGGUGACUUUGGAUUAGCCAGGCUGAUGGACCAUGAGCUUGGUCCUAAGACUACAGGGCUGGCGGGAACUUUAGGCUACAUGGCCCCUGAAUACAUAAGCACAGGCAGGGCUAGUAAAGAGUCAGAUGUGUUCAGCUUUGGAGUAGUUGCCUUAGAAAUUGCUACUGGAAGAAAAGCGGUUGAUCGUUACAAAGAAUCUGAAAUGGGGUUGGUGGCUUGGGUCUGGGGUCUUUAUGGAGAAGGAAAGCUACUUUCAGCUGCUGAUGAGAGUCUGGAUUCGGGAUUUGAUGAGCAACAGAUGACAUGUUUGCUGAUUGUUGGAUUAUGGUCUGCUCACCCUGACCGCAGUUUCAGGCCUUCCAUAAGGCAGGCUAUUCAAGUCCUUAGUUUUGAAACAGCAAUGCCAAAUCUUCCAUCGAAAAUGCCCGUUCCAAGUUAUCAUGUGCCUACACCAUCUGUCAGCUCUGGCGAACCUUUCAUUACAAAUUCAAGCAUUGAAGUCGGUCGUUGAACUUGUGCCUGUUCAUUUCUGCAAUGUUUUUCUAUGAUAUAAUUAAGAGUACAGAUAUUUGAACAUUAUCAAGGCAAUACCAAGACAGAAAUAAGGUAUUAUUCCUACUAUAGUAUUAUUGUAGCACAUAAAAUGAUAAUAAUAUAUAUGCUACCGUGUUAUCGUUUCUGUCGUAAUGGUGUUUUGUUGGUGGCGUAAUAUGAUUUUUCUAUACAAUUAAUAAAGAUGAAUAUGUUGAACCUAAGCCUGAUAAAGUAAGUUAAAUAUUAAUGACGUGGGUCAGUUGUUGGAAUUUGCAUAGUUGGAAACAGUAUAAGAGUCAAAGAGAGAUGAUCGUAUGAUCUCUUGCCUGUAAAAGAAGAGAGACGUGGAUUUGAUGUUUAGAAAGUAUUUGUGUUUUUGGAUUUGAUUAUUGUUGUUAAUCUAAUCAUGCUGUCUUUUUUAUUUUAAUAGUUUAAUCUUUCAUUUUCUUCCAUGGUAGAACCUUUCCGCUUUCAAUUUAACUCUUCUUUUUUUCUUUUUUCUUUUUUUCACUGUAUUGAUAUAAUUAUAAACAAGCCGGCAAACUUGGAUGUCAAGACAAAUGAAUAUAUGAAAGCAAUCAAAUGACAUUCCAGAAUCCAGCUGCGUUGAAAGGUAUUAAUUAUUUUUAAAUUUAAAAUGGUUUUAAAGUAAUUUGUGUAAAUGAGUUUUCUUUAAAAUUAAAAAAAAAAAAUACGACAUACCCCAUUAAUCCAGUGAGUUCUCCCCCCAAAACACAUUGGAAUGAAUGGAAAUUUUUUUUCAAAUAACCAUUUCAGUUUUUUUUAAUGAUUGAUUUCCGGGGCAUAUGAAAGGGGUCCCAAAGGGGGGGGGGGGGGUGGGGAAGGUCAACAACUACUGUCCUAUACAGGAGUCUAACGUCCGAAAUAUAUACCGAUUGACUUGAGGAAGCCUUACAGUCGUUUCUCCUUCAUUGCGAGAGUCAUGGCUAUCAUUAGGGUGCUUAAUUCCGAUAUUAUUCUUCAAAAAUUGCGUUAAUCUUGCAAUUANNNNNNNNNNNNNNNNNNNNNNNNNNNNNNNNNNNNNNNNNNNNNNNNNNNNNNNNNNNNNNNNNNNNNNNNNNNNNNNNNNNNNNNNNNNNNNNNNNNNNNNNNNNNNNNNNNNNNNNNNNNNNNNNNNNNNNNNNNNNNNNNNNNNNNNNNNNNNNNNNNNNNNNNNNNNNNNNNNNNNNNNNNNNNNNNNNNNNNNNNNNNNNNNNNNNNNNNNNNNNNNNNNNNNNNNNNNNNNNNNNNNNNNNNNNNNNNNNNNNNNNNNNNNNNNNNNNNNNNNNNNNNNNNNNNNNNNNNNNNNNNNNNNNUCGGAUUAAUUUUUAAAUCGUUUCUAAUUAUUCAAGUUUAAAUCUUAAUAGAAGAUGGAGGUUAAAAUUUUGAUUUACAUUUUACCCACGCUCUGAUAUAUAUGUGUGUGUGAAGAAAGACUCAAGUGUGUGUGUGUACCCAAAAAAAAAAAAAAAAAGACUCAAGUUUGUGUAAAGAUAGAUUCAAGUGUACGUGUGUGUAUAAAGAAAAACUCCAGUGAUAAGAUGUAUAGUUACACUAUUUCAAAUGUCCUGUCUUUGAUUUUCUUUGUACAAAUAACAAAAGGAUUCAAUCAUUCAAAUGAUAUAAAAAGAUCGUUGGGCGCCAUCUCUUUUUGAUGAGGAGAAACUUAUCUAGAAUUACCGUCCUUCAAAGUAAGUUCAGACGAAUUGGAAAUACAAAAGAUGGCGUUUUAAGAGAAUAUCAAAGGGACCAAUGGGCCUUUGGUCAAAUGAAAAAAGUCUUACACUUACAAUGUUGAGUAUAAGGGUUCAAGUUUUCAUAAGAGCAUUAUGGAGGUUAGUUUUAGUUCUUCCUCAAUUAUCAAUUAAUUGAGUGGAGACAGUCUCUCCCUUACGAAAUGUGAGUGGAGCAGGCACUCCUCGAAUAUUAGAGAGGGUUUAAAAUAUCUGGGCAUAUACUUCAGUGUGUCAAUGUAUGAUGGUGGUCCCAAUUAUAUAAUAUAAUUAUAAAUAUUAAUUAUAAUGUCUGAUAUAAUAUCAGUAAUAUCUGUGUAUCACAUACUUCAAAAAUAUAUAUAUAUAUCAAAGGGCGUCAUAAAUUUUGGGGCAGCGAUAUUCUCUUUGGUAGAGCUUAGACCCAGCCCAAAUGAAGCCCAAAUACUACCUCGACCAUAAUUCCCUCGUCAAUUGUUGUUUGACAGUUGACACAUCCAAACACGUCACAAAGAAUUAGUUCGGUGAAAAUCAAUGUCAUAGUGAUUGAAGAUUGAAGAGUGAAGACAUUAAUAAAUUACUUAACACCGCCUUAAAUACGCCUGAUAUUUUAACAUUUUUCAUAGGAAAGAUCCAUGUGCCAUGUGGAUGUGGCAUGUUAUGACAGCAAGAGGCCGGCUCAAAAGUUCCGAUGUCCACUUCAUUACGAGUAAGGGCAAGCCUCUAGGGAAUUAAUUUGACCAAGCCCUAAAACUCAUUUUAUAGAGCUACCAAGUACCAAUACGUAAUCUUUUUUUUUUAUCUUUCUGUUCUUUUUUGCCUGGCUACGACGAUGUAACUGUGACACAUUUCAUAAAAUAAAUCAACCAAUGUCUUGGCCUAUAUAUAAGUAAAAUACAUUCUGAACAAGACGGCAACCGGCAUUGGUUUCGAUGUUAGGUACGAAUAAUCACAUCACACAUUGUUUUACUAAUUGUCUUGGAGCUUCACCUCUUUGUCGUAUCAAACUGUUUUUUUGUGCCGUAGCUUUACGCGUAGAUAUUGUCAACUCCGAAUUAAAAAUAAUAGGCACCAGAAAUAGGUGCAAAAUCACUAAAUCAAUUGUAUAUAUCUUUUACCUUUCAGCAUCGAUCAUGCCGACCUUACCUAGAACUUCGCUUCUGAAGUAUGAAUUAGAUGCACGGCUAAAUUUAUUUCUAGAUUUGUAAACUGUUGCUUCAAUAAUCCCGACCACCUGUCGACGGUUACGAUAAGCUUUGUAGUUGAUCAAACUUUGGGAUAAUCCAAUGGAUAAAACUUUAGAAUGUCAUGAAUUUGGAAGCCAGUGGUUUAUUUCAUUUUGGCACCAUGGACGGUAGCGGAAUGUAGUUUAUUAUUACAUGGGAGUGAAACGCCGUGGUAUAGAUUGGCUGUCAAAGUAGAGGAGAAAGUUUGUGUUACAUUUGAUACAAUACAAUUAAUUAUUAUAUGUGUGACAUGUAUAAUUGAAUUUAUUAAUUAAAUUACCUUAGUUUUUCAAAAUAAAUAAACAUAUGGCAUAAUACCAUUUGCUUGUUAUAUGACUCACAUAGUACUUUCAAUAUAUUCUACAAUUUCUUUAACCAUACAUGGAGGUAAUAUAUAUGACUCACAUAGUACUUUCAAUAUAUUCUACAAUUUCUUUAACCAUACAUGGAGGUACAUAUUACCGUGUGAGAGUGAGACAUUUUAAUUUAAUAAAAUCAUAAAACUAUAAACUAUAAAGAACCGUUCAAGAAAUGAGCGUAUUAAUUAAUUUGACAAAGUUAAUUAAUUAAUAAUACCAAGCCUUCCUUUGGGAGAAGAAUAUAGUUGAACUAAUCGAAGGCCUUUCCACCCAAUUUUUACAUUCAUUCUCCUUCUCCAUGCAUUUGGGUUACCAUGGCCUUUUCCUAUCAACAAAAUCAUUUUAUUUUCUUUCUGAACUUCAUUUUCUUCCUGUUGCUAGUCCCCCAUGGAAGUUCAGUCUCCUUUAAUUUUCCGAAUUUCCAACCAAAUGUUCCAACCAUAACAUUCGAGGGAGAUUCAUUUGCAUCCGAUGAGGCUCUUCAGCUUACUAAGAAUCAAGUUGACGACAACCUCACCAGCAGUGUUGGCCGCGCCACGUAUAAUCAACCUGUGCCCAUUUGGGAUGCCAAAACACGAAGUCUCACGGACUUCACCACCCACUUCUCCUUUGUCAUGAGUGCCCCUAAUCCAGCUGAAUAUGGUGAAGGAAUUUCGUUCUUCCUUGCGCCAUUUAACUCCAAAAUUCCUGACAACUCAAGUGAUGGUUAUCUUGCCUUAUUCAGUCCUGAAACCGCAUUGAAUAAUGAUUCCAGGAAUCAAAUUGUUGCGGUAGAGUUUGACAGUAAUAAAAACAGAUGGGAUCCAAGCACUGAUCAUGUAGGCAUCAAUGUUAAUUCCAUUGCCUCAGAGAAAACCGUCCUGUGGAAAAGUAGCAUCAAGACCGCAGCAACAGCAAAUGCUUGGGUAAGCUACAAUUCUACUACCCAAAAUUUAAGUGUGUUUCUUACCUAUGCUCAUAAGCCAGUCUAUAGAGGGAACUCUAGCCUUUGGCAUGUAGUUGAUUUGAGAGAGAUUCUGCCAGAAACAGUGAGGGUUGGUUUCUCUGCGUCUACGGGCGAGGUGGUUGAAUUGCAUAAGAUUAUUUCUUGGAGUUUUAAUUCAACCUUGGAAACCAGCGAUGGUAAGGAGAAAAACAAAACAGGGUUGAUUGUUGGUUUACUUGUGGGUAUUGGAGCUUUAGCUUGUGGUUUGGGUGUGAUUUGGUUCAUAUAUUGGAGAAAGAGGGCGGGUGGGCAUAAGGAGGCCAUUGAUAUUGCUCUGGAAGAUGAAUUUGAGAAAGGAACUGGACCAAAGAGGUUCACUUAUCGUGAACUAAGUCGAGCAACAAACAACUUUGCCGAGGCAGGGAAGUUGGGUGAGGGUGGAUUCGGAGGAGUUUAUAGAGGCUUGUUGAGCGAUCAGAACACCGAGAUAGCGGUUAAGAGAGUCUCAAGAGGAUCAAAGCAAGGGAAAAAGGAGUACAUUUCGGAAGUGAGAAUCAUCAGCCGUUUGAGACAUAGGAAUUUGGUUCACCUUAUUGGUUGGUGUCAUGAGCAAAGACAAUUGAUUCUUGUGUAUGAAUUCAUGCCAAACGGAAGCCUUGAUUCUCACCUUUUCGGAGGAAAGGUCAUGCUAACUUGGAAUGUAAGAUACAAAAUAGCCCUUGGUUUGGCUUCUGCGGUGUUGUAUCUUCAUGAAGAGUGGGAACAAUGCAUUGUGCAUAGAGAUAUUAAAUCCAGCAACGUCGUGUUGGAUUCCAAUUUCAAUGCCAAGCUCGGAGAUUUUGGUCUGGCAAGGCUUGUGGAUCAUGAAUUGGGCUCUCAAACAACUGUUUUGGCCGGCACCAUGGGCUACCUUGCCCCUGAGUGUGUCACAACCGGCAAGGCUAGCAAAGAAUCCGACGUCUAUAGCUUCGGAGUCGUUGCCCUCGAAGUCGCUUGUGGAAGAAAGCCAGUUGAACCAAGGCAAGAGCCGAGCAAAGUAAGGCUUGUGGAGUGGGUUUGGGACCUUUACGGAAAAGGGCAACUUCUUGAAGCCGCUGAUGGAAGACUAAGUAAAGAGUUUGAUGAGCGGCAAAUGGAGUGUUUGAUGAUUGUUGGCUUAUGGUGCUGCCACCCUGAUUUCACAAAUCGCCCUUCUAUAAGACAAGUGAUAAAUGUUCUCAACUUUGAAGCUCCAUUGCCGAGCCUUCCAUCAAAACUGCCUGUGCCAAUGUAUUAUGCACCUCCUAUUAACAUUUUAAAGUUCACCUAUACAUCUUCUGGCGUCACAGAAUCAGACAAAUUUUAUGGAACUCAAAAUUCAGGCAGCAGCGGCUCUACAUAUUCGUCACUGUCAUCUGCAGCCUCAACAAAAUCUCUUCUGAAUUCACAGAAAGCUGACGUCUAGGAUCCCGCAAAUUGUUCUCCAAUUGAUUUUUUUUUUUUUUUUAACACAGUUCAAUCAAGAAUGUAAUAAUAUUUGUUUAUCUGUCAUGUACUAUGAUCAAAUAAUGAGUUUGUAGUAGUUUCUGUAGUUCAAACUUCAAAUUUUUUCCAUAGUCUUGUUCAAGAAAUUUAGAUAUGCUUGUACAUCUAUUAGUUGCCGCCUGUCACAUUAAUUUGUCAAGCAUUUUGGGAAACUGUUGCAAACCGAGUUUGAUGAUUGGGAAGGCCUCCAACCUAUCAUGAUAUAAUCUGUCAUGGAAAAAAAAAAAAAGAGAGAGAUUUUUAAAGCUGUUAUUAUAGCAUGUUAUUCUAACUAAACAUAAUUAUUUCAUAUUUCUCCAUAAUCCUACUUUACUAAUGAGAAGCCUAACUUAUCAAAAUUAUAAUUUUCAAAUUUGUAUAUAUUAUGGGGACACUAAACUCCCUCUCAACAACAUUGUUUAUCAAACGUAUAACAAGUUUCCAAUGCAGCCCAUUAAUUAGCUAUUUAUUUAGCACCGUAAAAGUAAAUUACUUUACAAGAUACAACAAUCCCACACUUGGCGUUAGUUUUCAUGUCCUUAAAUGUUUAAAUCGCAAACAAAUGCAAUCAGAUUAAUGAUCUGCUUAUAACGCGGAAGAGAAUAUAUCUGUGUGCAUGAAAAUCUCCUAUAAAAGUACUCCAUACAAGUCACUCAGCCUUCAACAGUCGUUGAACAUGAGCAGAAUGACCCUUUUAACUUUGAACAGCCAAACAAUAGUUGAUUGAGUAUUUUAGUUCUUUUCCUUCAAGAAUACGACAAACUGUGCCACAAUCUGCAUUCUAAUCAGGCCCAAAAACAAAAAUAUUCUACAAAUAAAAGAAUGACGAAGAAUUAAUUGAUUCCUCCGCUCUUAUUCUCUCGAUCUCAAAUUAAAUUUACCUUAGCCGUCAAGCCCCUUUAUUUUAUUUUUACAUAUAAAUAAUUUCAAACCCAUAAAUUAUGUAAAUUACAAAUCGAUGGUUGUCAAUCAUUAUCAAUUGCCGGCUGCCAGCAAAUUUAAUAAAACACAAACGGCUUGGUAUAUUUUUAGGCCAAGCGUACAUGAGGAUGACUGAAAAGUUUAUUUUAUUUAUUUUUGCGCAAAAAUUCUUAAGUAAUAAUAUUUAUCAUACACCUACAAGCUUUUUAUUGGUAAUUAUAAUUUUUUUUUGUAUUCACUACCAAACAUGCUUUUAACGUUUUCAACUCUAACAAGCUUAAUUUGAACUAAAAUUCCGUUUUGGUUAGCUUUUGGUAAGCAAACUUCUGUUCCAAACAAAGCCGCGAAAGUAUUUUUUCCUCAUUUUUUUUCACCAAGCAACAAACAAUAAAUAAAAAUACAUAUUUAAAAAAAAUGUAUAUAAAUGUUGGUUUACAAUGAAAUUUCUAUUUUCAUUUUUUUCUUUUAUUUCACAUUAAAUCUAUGAAGUUUUACACCCCAUUUCACAAAGUUUUUGUUAUAUAUACUUAAAUUUCUCAUCUUUUAUGUUAAUUUUUAUAGCCCUUAUGUCAGUGUAAUUAAUUAGUUGUUUGUGCUUUGGAAAUCCUGUGAACAUUCUCAUAUAACGACCCUAAGGUCCCUAACAACCAAUAUUUGGCAAUUAAUUAAUUAAGCAUUUCCAUAUUUUCUUUUUUCAAUUUAAUUGUAGAAAGUAGUUUUCAUUCGAUUUCCUAAAAAAGACAAGAAAUUAUAUAAGUAAGGGUAGGGUUAUUUAAACCUAUCGAAUUCAUCUCUACACCCAUUUUAAAAUUAAAAAUUUUAAAUCUCAAAAAUAUUUUUCGCUAAUAUUUUUCUCUCUCUACCUUACCAUUGCAUAGUCCCACUCUACUUUCACAUUAUGCAAACUAAACUCUCAAUUUAUUCUCUUUUGACUUUUUUUUUUUAAUUAUGUAUUUCAUGCUUUCUAUGUAUAAGAACUUUUUUUCUUGAUAUUCACUAUCUUUUGUGAUUGGUAGAAAUUGAUUUCUUAAUAUUCAUUGAUUUUAAUAGUUGAAAAAAAUUGAUUAUCUUCAUUUUUAAAUGAUGAACUUUGAUCCUCUUAGUUUACGAUAGUUUAAAUGAAACUAAUUAUUUAUAAUUUGCAGUUAAAAGAAAAGAUUUAAAGAAAUUGAUGACAAUAGAGAGAAUUGAGAACAAAAAAAGAAGAAGAAAUGGUUAAUUAAGCAAUUUCAUAAAGAUUAUUUUAAUAAUAAAAUUAUUAAUUAAAAAAUAAAAAAAAAUUAAUGAGUUCAAAUAAUCUCACUAUAUAAAUUAACGUGAACCUACAAGACAACUUACAAAAGUAGUCAAAAUUUUGGGGUCCAUAAUCACGAGUGAUGGACAAAAAUGUACUGAAUUUAAUUGAAGACCAACUCUCCAUUUUCCUAUCUUUAAUGGUUCAUAUUUUACUGAAAGACCUACUCUCCAUUUUGUCUCUUUUAUAGCUAUAAGCCUAUACAUAACCACAUGCUAUGGAUAAAAAUAUCCUUCAACUACUGUGCUCUAUAGUUUUCCUCUAAAAGAAACCAAAGGAAAAACAGUACCCUCCUAUUGUUUCAUAACAGGGAGCCCCUGUGUUACAAUUAAUGUAACAUACACACUCAACAACAACCACAUAAAUGAUGGGCCCCCAUAAUUUAUGUGGUUGUUGUUGAGUGUGUAUGUUACAUUAAUUAUAACAUAGCAUUUGCCUUCAUAACAUUUCACAUGUCAUUUUUUUAAUCAAGUUUUAGGUACCAUUAAAGUGACCUUUGAUUAACAAAAAAGAAACGAAAGAAAGAAAUGAAACUAAAAAAGUACAAGAAUAAAUAUAAAAUGUACCUGAACACUUUCUUUUAUUAAGUACCAAGAUUCUUUCAGGGAGGAGAGAAAAAAUAAAUAAAUAACCAACGGUAGCUGCAGUAACAUGCAGAAGGUACCUUACGAAAUGUCAGGCCACCAUUGGAUAGCUCAUUGAGUGUGCUACGCCUAGGCCGCGCGCAAGCCAUGGCUGUACGGCGUAUUUGACUAGAAAAAUUUACAUCAAGAUUAUUUAUGCUGCGAUUGAAAUUGAUGUUAGCUAGUUGUAUAUUAAAAAUUAUAGUAUUAAAGUAUUUGAUAAAUGCUAAUUGUUAUAUUUUAGAAAUUAUGCUAAUAUAAUUUUUUAUUUGUAUAAUAAAAAAUCUAUUAUAUUUUUAAUAAUUUUAUCAAAAUUUUUAUUUAAAAUUUAAUUAUUAUUUCAUAGUUAUAAUUUUUUUUUCCAUAACAACUGUAAUUUAAAAGGUACGAUACCUCAAUUCCAAACAAAAUCUUGGAGAUAAUUUUAUGCAUAGUGAGUAUUUUCGGUUAUACAAAAACAAGAGAGAUGAUAAUAAGUGGGCUGAAAUUAUAAAUAACUUAAAAAGUUUAGAUAUUUUUAUAAAUUUUAUAAGCUGUCAUGGAUCUAUGUGGGAAGUAUUUUAGUUUAAUAAAUUAAUUGUAAAUAAAGAGAACUUCAAAGACUAAAAUGGAAGAAGCAAGCUAUGAAGAAGAAAAUCAGCAAGCAAGCCUUUAUUCCUCAAAUUCAAGUUUAAGGUAGCAUUCUUUUUCCCCUGAAAUCUGAACAAGUUUAAAUUUAUUUGAAAUCUAAAUAUAUACAUAUGAACAACAUGUUUAUCUGAAUAUAAAUGUUAAAUUAUUUGUUUGAAAAAAAUGAAAACAUGAUAUUUUGACAAAUAUAACCUCAUAAAUAGUAAUAAUAUUUAUAUUUAUCGACUAAACACAUGACAAGUUAUAAAUAAAUUAUUUGAUUAAAAAAGAAAGAAAUUUGAUAAUGUUUACCUUGACAAAACAUGAAAAAUUAAGUAUAUAUCUAACACAAGUAUUUUUUCAUAUUAAUAUAUAAUAAUUAUAAUGUUAUUCUUAGUAUAUAAUAUUGAUUUUUUUUCUUUUUGAUUACAUAAGCCAAUCAAAAUUUUUGUUUAAUUAUUUGAAUUAAAAUUAACAAUUUUUUUGUUUAAUUAUUUGAAUUAAAAUUAAUGUACCAAAUAAAAAUUCAAAAUCUAUUACAAAAAUAGUGAAAAUAGAUAUAAAGAGAUGUAAAACUGACUCACAUAAAGUUUAUUAAGUUUAAAAUUCUCAUUAAAAAAAAAAUAGUUGAAUACUGGCAUAUAACCAAAAUAAAAAAGAGAUAGAUUAAAAAUAAUAAAAAAAUAAUUUAUAUAAUAGAAAAUGAAUUUAUUUAGUAGACGUAUUAAUAAGAGAAUAUUAAAGUUUCAUUGAGAUGCUUUACUAUUCAAAUAAAAGUUGAAAUAUUUAACUUUUUUUCCAUAUAAACCUAAACAGCAUACAAUCAAGAAUAAAUCAUAGAAAAUAAAUAAAUUAAAAAUCAUAAAUAUUUAAAAAUAAUUAAAAUUCAGACUUCAAAUAAAAAACAAACGACCCCUCAGUUGGCAAAUAAUUAAUGCCUAUUUAUACUAAAACAAUCACCGGGCGUCUGCUCUGCACCGGCCAUUUGAAUCACAAAAUUUCUGUACUGAUUUUGCAGAGCAGAAUCCGAAUUCUAUAUUUAUUUAUUUAUAAAAUAUGUCAACCAAUAAUAAAAGAGGGGGGGGGAUAGCCAAAGUAUAAUUAAAACAGAUAUAAGCCAUAUUGUCUUUACAUGUCCAUUACUUAAAAAACAUUUUGUCCCAACGUUUCUGUUUAUGUGACCAAAAUAAUAAUAAUAAUAAUAAUAAUAAUAAUAAUAAUGUCAAACUUUUUUUUUUGAGACUGAUUAAUCAUCAGAUUACUGCAUUACACAGAUAUUUACAACAACUGCUUAUUGUAGCAGAGAUAUUACACUGAUAUUUACAAUCAGAUAUACAUGAUUGGGACUUACAUUAUUACAAUGAAUUCUAUGAAGUACAUGCCCAAUACAAAUAACCUCUCACAGGAGAGGAUGUCCAUACUCCACUUGCAUUUCGCAAGGGAGAAUGAUAUAAAGAACAUUUAGCCUCCACAAUACUUUUGUGGGGGCUAGAACUGCUGCCCUCACAAGCAUUGUGAGGGCAGCAGCCCACUACUUCGGGCAAGGCCGAAGUGGCAAUAAUAAUGUCAAACUACAACAUAAAAAAUGAAAAGAAAGUAAUCAACGAGCACCAAAAAUCAAGCAAUUAUUAGGAGAAGCAAUUAUUAGGAGGCAAUAGCGGUCAAUAACAAUGAGAUUCUGGAUUAAUUCAGUAUUGAUUUGAUCUUUUUACCAAUUGUUUUGUAAUAAAUGCUAACCAUGUAUUAUUAUAUAAAAAUAUAUAAAUGUCAAUAGAACUUUAAAGCAUUAAUUAACGCAGCUAAAAUCAAUACUGAACUCAAAUACUAGCGAUCUCCGGAUCCAAAUUCAUAACAAUGAUGUCAUUGUUAAAGAAUUUCAGGUGUUGCCACGUUUCAUCAACUGACUGUCAUAUUUGGUGUCAUGUGAUUUGCUUUUGUCUUUGCUGCUGGUUCAUGGCUUAAUUUCUAGUGUCGUUUUCGAUAGCGGGGUUGGUGCAUUCUAGCUUUUAGAAUCCACUAAAGUGACGACAAACAAUCAAAGCAACUUUUUUGGAGCAGAGGUUGUUCACCUGUGGGUUCUUGUUGGCGAAUGCCCAAUGGUACGUGAUGGACAAAAUAUAAUGGAUAUUAAUCAAUUAGAACUUCACACCAUCUAAUUCUGUCAAUAAAGUUUUAAAGAUAUAAUUAUGUAUAUGGAUUUUGCUACAAGGGGGAAGAAGUUAGAGGAACAACUGUAGCCAUGCGUGUUCUUAUAGUCUUGAUCUCAAAUGGUCUCCAACAAAUCCUGUCAUCAUAGGUUAUAAUAAUAAUACCAUCAUAUAUUAUCCUAAUUAUAUGUAUAAGGUCUAAGCAAAAUGUGUUUACGGUGAAUGCUUAGGAAAUGAAACCUUUUUUUUAAAAAAAAUAAUAAUAUAAACUCAUUCAUUUAAACUGAUUAAUUGGAGUAGUAAUAAGUUUUUUUGCUACAGUAGUCUAGUACAUAUUGUAGUGUAUUGAGAUUAUAUGCCUAAAUAACGUCAAUUUGAUUACAAUAACCCAAAAACCAAUUCAUCAAAUGAAAAGGUUGAGAAUUGAGAUGAGAUCAUGCUAAUCAACGACGGAGACCAAUAGGAAAUUAGACAAAAAAUAAGAAAUUACAAGUGUGUCAGGAAUCAACACAGAAAUAACACAAAUACGACUUAAUCGGCAUGCUUCCAUUGAUUCCAUGUAAUGUAGAUUAAUCAAUUUUGAUGUCUAUUGUAGUAAGUUCAACCAUUUUAACGAACUCAUUGACAUAAUGACUCAUUAAACAACUGGCAACAUUAAUUUAACUAACCAAUUUUGACGUAAUGAGUCAUUAAACAACUCAGGAACCAUGUUCAUUCUUAUCGGUUUGUUAAACCUAAUAAUUUAAUAGACUUUGAAUAAUGCCUGAUCCAGCCGAUGAACAAAUUAGUUAAAAUUUUUAUAGAUAAUAUUUCAUGCGUUGUCAUAUGCAGCCCACCUACACUGUUGCUAUUGUGGUCCACGGCCAAUGCGUAGAAUGACUUGCCGAACAUAAUUUAACAUUUUUAACUUACACGUACGUUAGGUUAAAUACAGAAGCACAGAGAGUACGUACGUGUUAGUGGUUCAGGUAAAAUUAGUUCUGAGAAAAAUGUCACGGGCGACUCUGUUGUAUGGGAUGCAAUUGUUUCUUGUGGCUCCCAUGCAUGUUCUCAAUUUAUUCUUCUUCUUUUUUUUUUUUUCUUUCUUUUUGAAGUGUUUUACAAGGCAUAAUUGAAAAAAAAAAAUUCACAUGCUCUCUGAACUCUGAAGUAGGUCAUUUUAAUUACCCCGAUUUCCAUUUCCAAGCGGUGGCCUCACAGGUUGUAGUUAUCAACGAAUAAUUUUAUUAGUAUUCUGGUCCAGUUUCAAGGUCAAGUUCUUACCUAAAUUUCUAAACAUUAUUACUUCAAUUUGCACACGAUUUGCUCGAUUGCGUUAGAAAAAUCUCUCUCUAAAACGGCUUAUUCGACACGCUUCCUUUGUUUUUCUUCGGAAGCUGCAUUUAAUCAUUAAAAAAUUAUAAUAAGAUAUAUUUGACUUUGUUUUAUUACAAAAUUGUUAAUUUUGCAAUUAUUAGUUUUAGGUGAACAAUAAAAAGAAUAUAAUUAUACUUAUAAAAUUGUUUUUGUUAGAAUCAUAUGCAUUAUAUACUUUUGUAAUUUUUAUAAUUGGAUUAGCAUACUGUAUUAAAUAGUUUUAUUUUUAAAAUUAAUUUUUAGCGUUGUGGCCGACACCUCAUAAGAGAGAAAUUAAAUUUUUUUUUAUAUGAUUGUGGAAGUAAUAUUUCUCUUGAUUUAAGAGUAGAUAUCUCCAUUUUAUAUUGGAUUUUCAAACCGGAUUUUAGAUGGAUUAUAUAAGGCAAGUCUCGGCGGACUUUUGAUGGUAAUAUAAAAAAAAAAUCAUAUAUUUUAUUUAUAUAGAAAAAACGGAGACAAAAGAGAAGAAAAUGAGAGAAAAUAUGACUUAAAUUUUUUAUUUAAAAGUUUAACAUAAUUCUUGAACCAUUGGCUUCAAGCAAUUCAAUGAUAAAUAUUAAAAGUCAAAAUAUUAUUUAAUAAUAGUUAUUCAUUGACUAUUUAAGUCAAAAUUUUAAAUUAGAACAACCUAACCCAUUAUCUUUUUUAUAAUAAUUUAACUGGCAUGCAGUUACGGUAAUGGGAACUAAUAUCGAAACGUAAGGAGUAUCCUCAAUACUAAAACAUCGACUUUAGGGAGCUAAUAAUGGUUUUGUGAAUAAUAGGUUUUGCAUUAAUCAAUAAUAUUCACAUUUUCAAUGUUAAAAUUGUUAAUCGAUAUAUUGGACCAAUUGACUGCCCCCAAAAAGUUCGGCACCCGCAAUUCGUUUUUUUUUUUUUUCUCUCUCUCACUCUCUUUGUUCUGGUAAUUAAGCAUUAAGCAAUAAGCACCCGCCAGUUAGGAUGUUUCUACCGUACUAUCGAAUCUCGUAGGACUAAAAUUUAAUUUUUCUUUUAUUUCAAUGUGCCACUCGAGUGAAAAUUACCCAAAUAUUUGAAGAAAUUAAAAUUUUAAUCACUUGUCUUGAACGUCACGUGAUACUUUUCCCAUGACAAAAUUACCAAAUAACUUGGUCCAGCAGACUGACGUAUCUCUCUGCUGUCGCAAAGAAAAUUAAACCGCGAAACAAGAAAAGCAAAGGCAGUACCUUUGACAUUAUAUUCUGCAAUGAAGAAAAGAAAUUUCCAUAUUUAAGAAAUAGUCAAAAACGUUUAAAAAAUUGAAAGAAGUUGGCAAGGAGCCGUUCUCUUCUUAGAUGAAAGUUAUAUAAAGGCCAUUCAUUAGCCAUUACAAUAUGCACGUUUUUGAAGCAAUUAAGGUUCCUAGCAAGCACCAUUAUUUGGUAACGUUCACCAAGUAGAGCUAGCUAGACAACAUCUUCUCUGUUACCUUCUUCAUUUGCAUUUACAAGGGUAUGUCCAUUUUCUCAAUUACCAUCAUACUAAGAAUUUUUUUUAUUUUUUUCCUUUUAUGGGGUUCUAUAAUUAAUUACUUGCCACCUUGGCUUACCAUUUUCUGCUUCUGAAAGUAUAUUAUAAACGACUCCAAAUUGCUAUGUUUAAAGAGUGUUCUGUUCACGUUUGGUAUGCAUGUUGUUGUUUUCAGGCCUUCGUUCAUUAGAAAAUAGUUAAUGGAGAAGGUUAGGUGGAAACGAAAAGGGAGUUUGGUUGCUGCAUUACUUCUCAUGUUCUUCAUCGGAGUUAGUUCCGAGAAGAUCCCAGUAAGGUUCUUGCUCAUCUCUCUCUCUCUCUCUCUCUCUCUCUCUCUCUCUCUAUCAUUACAUUUUCUGCUUGUGUUCUGUGCAUGUUUGCAUGUGAGAGAGAGAAGAAGCGUACUUUGAAAAAGAAGUUUUCGUGCUAACUUCCAUUCAUGGCCUAUUUAUUAUUUUGUGUUUAAUGAUCGAUGCUUUAUAUAUGUAGGUUAUUGAUUUUAGUCUUGCCUUUGUUCCUGUUACACAUAUGAAAGACGAAAUUAUAUUUAUUAUCCCAUUUUGUUGUUUCCAAAAUGGUCGCUUGUAUUGUUUUAUAUCAACCACAAAAUUUGUCAUGAGAUGGUGACCGUAGCUCAUCAUGACUGAGUUCCAUCUUUUGCUUGUGACCAUUUUAACUUAAACAGACGGUCCCUUACACAUUUUCUUACUUUCAAUUUUCUCUUUCCAACGUCUUUAUCGUAUUUGCCACUGUGAAUCCUUUGAAUUGAUCUGGAUGAAAAUGUGAAUUGGCUUAUCACGAUCAGAAAGCAAUGCUUCCAUCAUUACAACUAAAUUGACCGCAAUAUCCCAAAAUAUUUGAUUUCUAACCUUUAUUCCAAUAGAAGGAAUUUUUUAUAUCUAUUAUUAUCUUCAAUUUCUUUACUUGAGUCUUGAAAGGAUAAACCUUUCGGACUUUCGGUUGCCAACAUUCUCUGUAAUUAAUUACUUUGCUGCACUAAAGUAUUACAAUUAUAUCCGUUCGUUUGCAGCAACCCCCGAGAAUUGAAGACUUCGCUUGGAGUCCAACUAAAUACCAAACACCGACGACUGGUAUAAAGCGCCCUGACAAUCUUUAUCCUUCAACUAUUUAUUAAUUGAUCUGCUAGCCUUAUUAGUUUAUUCGGAAAAAGGUGGGGGGGGAACUCCAGAGAGAAAUGGACUUGCAUUUUUAAUAUAAAGUGUUUUCAACUUUUAAAUUAUUUGUGGUUCAGGUGGUGAUGGAUAAUGGCCUUGUGCAAGUCACUUUGUCAAAUCCAGAGGGUGAAGUCAUUGGAAUAAAAUAUAAUGAAAUUGACAAUGUACUAGAGACACAGAAUGAAGAAGAUAAUCGAGGGUAUGUAUGGUAUUCUCUUAAUGAGUUGGUCAUUUUACUUAGAUUCUAUAUGUAAAUUUGAAAUUAAAAAUUGAACAAAUUUCAGGUAUUGGGACGUCGUUUGGUACGAGCCGGAAAAACAAGGUUCCUAUGACAAGUAAAUUCAAUUCUCUUCCUUGGGAUUUUCUUGACUAAGCAUUGUCACAGAUAUGUGUGCUUCAAAUUGAAAUUAAUUAUUAUCUUUAUAUACCAUUUGGCAUAUAUAUGUGCAUGCAGAUUAAUUGCAACGGAUUUUAAGGUGAUUAUGCAAGAUGAAAACCAAGUAGAGGUAUCAUUCACGAGAACAUGGAACAUUUCCCUCCGUGGGUCUCUAGCUCCCUUAAAUGUUGAUAAAAGGUGCUGUGUAAUUUCUUAAUAUUUUUUCCCAACACAACCGCACAAAUUAAUAUAGAAUUAAUUAAUCUGAAUUAACCAAACUCUUCAGGUACAUAAUGCGGCGUGGCGUCUCGGGCUUUUACUUUUACGCCAUAAUGGAACGCAAAGAAGGGUGGCCUGACGUGGACAUGGAUCAAAUUAGGACUGUUUUCAAGCUCCAACAAAACAAGUACGGAAGCAAUUAACUGGUCAACUUUAUGCAUAAUUGGAUUAAUUUUGCCUGUUGCCCAUAUAUAUAAAUUUUAGGUUCUGAAAUGCUGAUUGAUUUGGAGUUUUUUAAAAUGAAUUUUAAAUGUGAAUAGGUUUCACUUCAUGGCAAUAUCAAACGAUAGGCAAAGAAUCAUGCCAAUGCCUGAAGACAGGGCAACCGGUCAGCCACUUGCCUAUCCUGAGGCUGUUCUCCUGACAGAUCCAAUCAACCCAGACCUUAGAGGAGAGGUACUACUUCAAUUUUCCUCUCUUAUGUAUACAUAAUGGAUUGCCGUCGCCUGUGGUCAAUUGCGCGGGUAAACAAAAGUAACAAAAAGGGUAAUGAUAGAUGAGCUUUCUGCAGAAGUUAUUCUCGGCAACUUAAGGAAACUCCCAAUAUUACAAGUAAUUCCCAGAAAGAAAGCUAUAAUAAAGAGGAGAUUCGUUUCAUCAAGACUUCGGUGAUCUGUGUGUAUCCUCUCAUGUGAAAAUGACCCCCAUAAAGUAAUUAAUUAAUUAACUAAUUAAAAAAAUGAUACGAAUGAGGUAUAAUUUAACUUAAUGUUUUAUACGGAAUGUGGAAGGUUGAUCCAUUCGUUCACUGUGUUCCGUGUAGAAAGAAAUAAAGUGCCUUCUUUUGACUAUCGAAUGGAGAGAGCGGAGAAAAAAUGGGACGCAACUUUUGUCUUUAUGUUUGUAGACUUUAUUAGGCUUCGAAUAUCAAAGUCUCUCCCGUGAACGCGGAUGUGAUACCUUUUUCCACUUUGGUUGUGGCUUGUUUGUUCAGGUGGACGACAAGUACCAGUACUCGAGCGAGGAUAAAGAUAUUCGGGUCCACGGAUGGAUAUCCUCCGACCCGCCCGUUGGAUUCUGGAUGAUCACACCAAGCGACGAGUUUCGUUCGGGUGGCCCCAACAAACAAGACCUAACUUCUCACGUGGGCCCCGUCGUCCUCUCGGUAAGUCUCGCUGCAUCCAAUCAUCCAAUUCAUAAAUUUAUAUGAUGUUUAAGCCGAAAUUUUAUAAUAAUUAUAGUUUACAUUUAUCUAAAAUUUUGGUUGCUGCUGUGACGUCCAUUAAUUGUCCAGAUGUUCACCAGUACUCAUUAUGCUGGGAAGGAAAUAAAUACAGAGUUCAGAAACGGAGAGCCGUGGAAGAAAGUUUUUGGUCCUGCUCUUGUUUAUCUUAACUCUGUUUCAUCCGAAGAAAAACCCCUUAAUCUUUGGGAAGAUGCUAAACGCCAGGUAUAUUAAAUUCAACAGAUGCGUUAAAGGAGUAAUAAUAACUCUUAUGAUCGACUGACGCCGAAUUUCGUAAUCAGAUGAUGGUAGAAGUUAGAAAAUGGCCAUAUAAUUUCCCUGAAUCAGUGGAUUUCCCUAAACGCAAUCAAAGAGGAGGAGUCUUUGGUCAAUUACGAGUCCACGACAGGUAGCAAUGAUUGAAAAUCUCUUUCUUUUUUUAUUUAAGGCAUUUAUUACCUUAAGGUAUAUAACUAUUCUAUAAAAUUAUAAAAUAAUAAAAUUUUAUUUUUUUUACAGCUGUUAAAUUUUUAUUAAAUAAGUACAGGACACGGGCUCUAUUUAAAGAAUACUUGAAACCUGUAAUAUUAGGCUAAUACUAAGUUAUAUGUACGUAACUUUUAAUUCUCUUACAUGAAUAGUGAGUGAUGUGGGUCCACUCACUAUUUAUAUGAGAAAAUUAUAAGUUACAUGCAUGUAAUAUAAGAGAUCUGUAACAUUAACAGUGUACUCAUUUAUUUAUUUGAAUCAGGUACAUCAGUAACAGAUUGAUGUGGGCGGACUCGGCUUAUGUGGGAUUGGCUGCACCAGGAGGUGUCGGAUCAUGGGAGAGAGAUUCCAAGGUCUGAUCAAAUGGGCCUGUCAUAAAAAUUUUUGGUGCACUGUGGACUCAGCUUAUUAAUUAACUAAUCAACUUUUAUAAUUUCUCCUAAUCAGGGUUAUCAAUUCUGGACAAAAGCGAACAAGAGAGGGUAUUUCUCAAUUAAAAAUGUUCGACAAGGGGAUUAUAAUUUGUAUGCGUGGAUCCCUGGAAUUGUUGGUGACUAUAAAUAUAGUGCCAAUAUCACUGUCAGAGCAGGUGAAGUCUCAUCUUUACUAUUCUAUUUUCACGCAAUGUUCAUUCUGUAGCUGGAUUUCACUACGAAAAUAAAAAGAAUAAAAAGGAAAAAUAAAAAGAAAGAUUUAUGCUUUUCACACCCGUUCAAUAUUCUUACAAAAUCUCAUUUUUAUAAUCAUAGUUCUAUUAUUGGUCGAAAAGAAAUUUUAUGAAAGUGCAAAAAAUAUUUACAAAUCAUUAAUCCUAACUAUCUUUAAAUCUUUAUAUAUGAUAUAAUUAUUUUUUAUUUUUUUGGGAUAAAAUCAAAAUAAUUUUGAAACAAUGAAAAAUAAAUUUCCUAGUAAUAUGAAUUUUAUUGUGAAAAAUAUGUUUAAAAUUUAAUUAAUUUAUUCUAGUAACUUUAAUUUAACUCUCUGUAAUUUUUUAUUAUUAUUUUUAUUCUAUCAGAUAAAGAGAUUUAGUUAUGAAUGUUAGAAGCUACACUCUAAAAGAAAAUCCUCAUUGGGCCCUUUAAUAAAGAACUCAAUUGGGCCAGACUGAUGGAUAGGCUCCGUUGAGCCACAUCAAAAUGAAAUCUUAUUGGACCAAAAUCAUGGACAGGCCUAUUUGAAAACUUUGUUUGUCCACCAAUACCUUCGUUCCAUUACUUCUCUCUUUUUGAUCUGAUCAAUUGCUUCUUUGCCAUUUUCUUUUCAACUUACAGGUUCCAAUAUCAACUUGGGAGUUCUUGUUUAUGAGCCGCCCAGAAAAGGUCCGACAUUGUGGGAAAUCGGCAUCCCUGAUCGCUCAGCAGCUGAAUUCUUUGUGCCAGACCCUUAUCCGACACUUGCCAACCAAUUAUACACUAAUCAUCCAGAAAAGUCCGCUCUCAAUUACCAUGCUCAAAACUUAGUUGUUACACAAUUUAGCCUUAUGCUACAUUUGCUAAAAUUUCAAUAACUUAUUGUGGCUUACAGGUUUAGGCAAUACGGAUUAUGGGAGCGAUAUGUAGAUUUAUACCGAAAUGAUGAUCUCGAAUAUACUGUUGGCGAUAGUUAUCACGCAAAAGAUUGGUUCUUUGCUCAUGUUACCAGGUGUUUAUUUCAUCCUUACCUACCCAGGAGACUACCAAGUGAUUUUCCAUUUUCCAGGACCUUAUAUUCUAUCAAAUGAUGAAUUGCAGGGAUGUGGGAAACAGGACAUACAAACCAACCACAUGGCGGAUUAUAUUUGAACUAAAGCACCUGAACAACAAUGGCCAUUACACUCUUCAAUUGGCUUUGGCAUCGGCCACAGACUCUGAUUUACAUGUAUUCUGCAAAGCUUUUUCUUUUUAGUUCUCCAAAUUGCAUUUAAAAAUGCUAGCAAUGCUAAUGGGAUUUUCAAUUGUUUUAAAGGUUCGAUUCAACAACCCAAACGCAGAUCCGCCUCAUUUUGCAACGGGGACAAUAGGAAAGGACAAUGCCAUUGCCAGACAUGGAAUCCACGGUCUGUAUAGAUUAUACAGCAUUGAUGUACCGAGCGUUUUACUUAACCGAGGAAGAAAUACAAUCUAUCUAACUCAGUCAAGGAGUAGAAGCCCUUUCCAAGGAGUACUAUAUGACUAUAUUCGCCUAGAAGGACCCCCUAGAACUUGAUUAAUUAAGCUCAGGAGGAUGUUGUAUUUGUUUAAUUCUUUCUGUCCCAUUUCCAAAAUUCUAGUGUAGAUAUGUCAUAUAUUUUAGCAUAUGAUUCUAGGCAUUAUUUGUUGUUCUUAUUCCAUGUCAAUAAGCAAUCUAUAUGUACACAAUAUUCACUGCUGAAAUCUUUCUUCCGAAAAUUCAUUAAUUUUUCACGUUAUCUAAUUUUCUUUUUAAUCAUCAACUCAUACACCUACAAGAAUGGAAAUUUAUGAAUAUUUUAUUUGAGUCAUGAUUGAAAUUGUUAAAUUCCCCUGUUUAAAUAUUUUAUAAAAUUAAACCGCCCCUUCUCCAAUUGUGCAAGUCCCGUUGUUGGAGUCACAAAAGACAAAAGAAUUAAUAAAUAUGAGGUAAUAAAACUAAGUAAUACAUAGAUGACAUAUGUAAUUAAAUUUAAUAUAAUCAUCAUUUGCGUGGUGAUUUUUCAAAAUAAAUACAUACAUGUCUUAUUAUUGUAUAACUGACAUAAUAUUUCUGAUACAUUCUAUAAUUUCUUCAAAAGACAAGGGCAGCGUUAUUAAUUUAAUGGGCCAUUAUUUUUAAAGUUGUUUAGUUGCAUUUGGGAAGAUCCAUCUUUACCAAUCACCGAUUGAAAUUAACAGUUGAAAAUGAAAAUAUUGAUCUCUCAAAAACGUUUGAGAAAUCAUAGUUUCAUCCCCAACUUUUCCUCUUGAUAAUGAGCACUGCGCACCCGUAUCAAUAACUAGCUAUCAUUCUCAAUUAUUAAAGGGACGAGAUUUAUAUAUAAUUAAGUGUUUUUUCAACUUAAGAGACUAUUCUUAACCGUCCAGCACGAGUCCCAAUAGGAGAAGAGAUGCGAUUAUAUUUAGAAUAUCGAAAACUUGACCGAAAAUUCCCCUCUUAUUUGGAAGCAUUUCAUAAGCCAAUAUAAAAAUAAUUAGAAACCAAGUCAUAGAGAAAGAUAAAUUAUAUUAGUGAGAGAAAUGAAAGAAAUACUCACUCGUGAGAGAGUAAACAAAAGGUCCGAUUUCCAAAACAGGGAGCCCUGCUGGAAACAAAUUGCUUUGAGCUCUCCGUGCAAGGGUAUAAGGUACCUCGAGUGCGUAAUACGUUGACAUGCUGAAGACAUAUGAUUCUUUGUCGCUGUUUGGAACACAGGAUCAAAGAUGAACUUUAGAACUCUUAUUCAUGAGCCACCUAGAAAUGGUCUUACACUGUGGAAAAUCGGAAUCCGUCACCGGUCAGCUGCUGAAUUCUUCAUGCCAGAUCCCCACAAGAAAUUUAAGAACCCAUCGCUCACUAGACCCUCUGACAGUUAGUUCUCUAAUUAAAUAAUUUAACUUAAAUUCGCUUUAGUCGAUACACCAUUAAUUAAUUUAUUUACAGCUUAAUAAUAAUUUUGAAUAUAACUUACAAAUAGAUUUGUGCAAUACGGAUUAUGAGAAGGAUAUGCAGAUUUUAUAUUCCAAUGAUGAUCUCCAAUACACCAUUGGCGUCAGCAAUUACAUUCGAGAUUGGUUCUUUGCUCAUGUCACCAGGAGCUUAUUAUUUCAUCGAUGAUGGAUCUCUUGUCUUUGCUAUACUAAUCCUAUAGACCAACAAGUGUUAAAAAGACCGGGCUCUUAAUAUUCUAAUGGUCGAUUCGCAUUGCAGGAAGUAGAAAAUAAUAUUUGCCAACCGACCGCGAACGUGAGCAACAACGGAAAUUACCCACUCCAGUGGUCUUGUCAGCAGCUACUUACUCUAAUUUAAGGUUACAAAUUAAUUAAUAAUUAACAAUUCUAGCUAGCAUUAACUCCAAAACCACCUCAUCAUCACUUCGUUUGCCUAGUGGGCUCUUCGCCCCCGCCCCCACCCCAACACCCCCCCCCCCCCCCCCCCCCCCCCAAACCCCCCCCCCCCCCCCCCCCCUCAACAAUGGUAUAAAAUAAAAGGUGCGGUCAAUAUUCGUCGAAGAGAUAGGCGGAGUCCACUAUUCUCGGGAGAAAUGGUAGGAAGGGACAAUGCGGUAGCUGGACAUGGGAUUCAUGUACUGUACACAAGCACCAACGUGCCAAGUUAUUGGCUUUACAGAGAAAAGAAUACGAACUAUCCUACUCAAUCAAGAAGUGGCGGAUCCUUCCAAAGAGUCAUGUAUGAUUAAUUAUAUUCGCUGAAACACCCCGACCACGGAAACCGAAUUACAUUUUAGAGGCGGUAAUUUUCCUUAAUAAGAGAUCAAACUUUGUCAUCGUGUAUGAAUGAAUGUAUUUGUAAAGAAAUUGAGAUGUGGUUUUUUUUUUUUUCAUAUUGAAGUGUGUGUGUGUGUGUAUAUGACAAUGGAAAAUUGUAGAUAUAAAAUUAAAUAAAGUAAUUCUUUGAUGAAAUUAUUUGGGUCUUGGUAAGAAAAGUAUAGGCUCCGCAGUCAGCAAAUAUGACUUUUAUGCCUUGAUUUGUUCUAAUCAACUGCGUGCUCGCGAUGCUGUUUACCACUGCCAAUUGUAGUGACACGUUUGCCCUCGCCGUAAUGGAGCUUUUUUCGUCAUCAAAAAGCUGGACGGUUUUUUCCCGUCUAUUUUAUUUUUUAAACUUCAUCCGUGUUUACACGGUAAAAUAGUAAUUUAACAAAGUUCUGUUAAAAGUUGGGCUUUGUAGGCGGGGAGGCAAUUGCCCGUUGCCUAUUAACUGAAACAUGGCAUCUAAAUGAUAAUAACUCAAACCUCAGGGUAGAAAAAUAAUAACAACCUAGAGUUUUAAUUUUAAAUUAACAACGGAUCCUCUAUCUUACAAUUAAUGUAAGAUACACCCCUUACAUGAACAAUAUAUAAACCCCACAUAUGCAUUGUUCAUGUAAGAGGAUGUAUCUUACAUUAAUUGUAAGAUAGGGAUUAUCAUUAACAAAUCGUAUAUCGCGACGUCUUAUCGGAGUUGUUGAAUACUGAAAAAUCCACAGAUCCACCUAUGUUACGGCUCUUUUGUCUUUUCUUACUUUGUUAUUGUAAAAUUUGCAUUGAAGCCCUUACACUCUGUUUUACUUCAUUAAAAUCCUUAGAGUAUCAAAUUCGUCCCCUAUAAUUUUUAAAUUUCGAAAAUACCAUCCAUUUAAUUAAAGAAUAUAAUUAUUAUUAAAUGGAUUAUAAUUAUAAUUAUUAUAUUUUUAUAAUUAUAAAUAUAAUUUUUAAAUGGAUUGUUAUUAUUACUAUUAUUAUUAUUAUUAACAACAAUAAAAGGUAUUAUAAUUAAUUAAUAAAUUAACAAUAAUUAAUAAGAAUUUUUAGUUAAAUUAAUAAUAAUAAUUAUCACAAUAAUUAAAAUACAAAAUAAUAAUUAUGGUAAAAAUUAAUUAAAGAUUUUAUAGUAAUUUAUUACAGUUUAACUCAUUACGAUUUUGAUUCUAAGAUAAAGUAAACACAUCAAUGACAAUACAGCUUAUUCUAACUACGAUUCUUGCAGUUCAAGUAAAUAGAUUAUUCCGAUUCAAAUUCUUCAUUUCAAUUUUAUCUAUUCUGAUUCUAACUCAUUUUGAUUCCAGUUAAUUUCAAUUCUCGUAUAGUGAAUGCACUAUAAAAUUGUAAACAUUUCAUAUAUAUUUUUUCCAUUUCUUCUUCCCCUCUCUCACACACUCUCUCUCUCUUUGUGAUGAGUCUAAUGGUAGCUUUAAUUGUCGAUACAGGUUGCUGAAGAGAAAUUAAUAGUGGAGAGGGAUAGAUUUAAAGGGAAUUUCUUUUUUUAUUUUGUUAAUCCUUUUAUCAUGAAAGUAGUAAUUAUUAUGAGAUUAUAUUAUAAAGAAGAUGAAUGGUAAUAUUCUUAAAAAUUUUGUUGAUGAUGAGUGAUGGAAGAUGAGAUGCCGUAAUUUUUAAAGAGAGGAAAGUAUUUUUUUAGCACUAAUUUAAGUAUAUUUUUGUCUUUUUAUUAAUAUUAGUGUGUUAUGAUAACUAAUGUGUCGUGGUUGUAAAUAGAAAUUCUUUUGACACUUACAAAAAAAAAAGUAAAUGAAAAAGAAUUUAAGGAGAUAAAUUAAAUUUUCGUAGUAUAGGUAAGCAGAAAGUUUCAUAAUAGUUAUGAACAAAUUAUAAACAAAAUAGAGUGUAAGGGUUCAAGGAAAUUUUACAAUAACAAAGAAAGAAAAGACAAAAGAGCCGUAAGUUACAAGAGCUGUAGCUUAGGCGGAUCCAAAAUCCAUGUUCGAACUUGCUUGGAAAAUCCUUUGUUCAAUUUUAGUUAGCUCUCCAAAUACGACCGCACUCUUUUGUCUUCAGAGCUGAGUGGCAAGUCAAGCAAGUGAACUUCUCCCGAAAAUAUCAUCAAAUUGCCUGCAUUUCAUAUUUUCACUUCACUCUUCUCUUCUCUUCGAAGUUGGGUGAAAAAUGGCAGAAAAGUCAUUAUCAGGGCAAGUGCAGCAGAAAAAGGCCUCAGGAUGGGCAGCCAGGGACACUUGUGGUGUUCUCUCUCCCUUUGAUUUCUAUAGAAGGUUCUCUUCUCUUAAUCUUUGUCUUUCUUUGAUAAAUGAAUGGUGGUUUUUCAUGUGACGUGAUUUGGCUUUAUAUGCAGGGCAACGGGAGAGAAAGAUGUAACUAUCAAAGUGCUGUACUGUGGGAUUUGCCGUUCGGAUCUUCACAUGCUCAAAAACGAUUGGGGCAUUUCUACUUACCCUCUGGUUCCAGGGUGCGUAUGAUCUUCAACAUUUCAUUUCUCUUAGUUAUCAUUUAUCAAACAUGUGUGUGUACAUAUAUUUACAUAUUUAAUUCAAUAGAAUAUUAAAUAAUUGAAGAUUGUUAAUGAAAGUUCCGUUCUCACACCCGCUAUUCCAAUAUUGUCGGAACAAAAUAAAAAGAUUGUAUGUCUUGAUAUGAAAAUAUUUGAUACAUGAAAGCCUAACACAAAUAACUGCAUCAUAAGUUUCAUAAAGAUUUUUUUCAAUACAAUAUAUUUCAAAUUCACACCACAACAGAAAUGGCUUUUUGCAAUAAAAAGAUUUUGUUGCCUAAAGUGCUAAUUUUGUUGCCAUAGGUUAUUGCUACAAAAACAAGCUUGUCGACCUAGUCGUCGGCCUAGCACUGUCGCCCUCUAUGUUUAACAACAUAUCAAAACAUUUCUCGCCUCAAACUUCCUUUCGCAACAAAACAGAUUCGUUGUGAAGGAGUCUUCAACUUGUUUAGAGAAUAAUUUGGCAACAAACAUUUUUGUUGCGCUAAACAGUUUUACACAACAAAAUUAUUUUGUUUCUAUAUAGUUAUUUGCUACAAAACUAAUUUGUUGCUAAGAAAUAAAGUACAUUUUAUAAAAAAAACAUGUACCAACAAAGGUGUUUGUUAGCUAAGAUCAUUUUAGGCAACAAAACUACUUUGUUUCUUUAUGUUGAAAAUUUUACAAAUUUGCAAUAAAUAUUUAAAUAUUUUUAGAAACAAAUCAAUUUUGUCAUUAAAAAAUACUACAAUUUUUUUUAAUAAUAUCAUGGUAUAAAAGGAAGCAAACCAAGUUCGUUGGGAAAUAUACCAAUUUUUCCCCCCACCAUGACAAUAAUAAACUAGAAAUAUAUGUUGAGAAAUCUAACAAAAAAAUCAUUAAUGUCAUUGAACUAAUUUAAAAGUUAAAGGCCCAUUCAGUAUCCAAGCUAUAUAUAUAUACAAAACUGACUUUAAGAAUCACAUAUGAUAGUCAAAUACAAAAGUGGAUUGUCAUUUAUCCCAAAAAUGUAAUGAGCAAAAAUUAUAAACGAUCUCUAAUUACAACUACUCCAAACUCCAAAUACUUAAAGAUAUGACAUGCACUCCAAACUCCAAAUACUUAAAGAUAUGACAUGCACCAACAGUAACCAAAAAGAUCAAGUGAUGACCAAUUCAAAAUACUAACAAGUUCAAGAUACUCUAAGGACAUCAUUGAAAUGAGUAAUCAUUGAGUAGCUGAAUCUGUAAAGCGAAAAGCAGAUUCUUGAGAAGAAAAAAAUUGCUGCAUCAUACCCUCAAAUUGGGACAAUCUGGACUCCAAUUGAUCAAUAGUCUUCUUUUGCUGUUGAAGCUCAACAUCUUGUGAAUCCAAUCUACUUUGUUGUGAAGAUAUAAUGCCAUGCAAUCUGUCAGCCUCAGAAGUAUCAACACCAUGGUUUGAAGUUGGGCGUGGUCCGUUGCCAAGUCCUCGAAAAUAGCCUGAUUUCUUUCCAAGUACUUCAAUGCAUAUUUCCCUUUAAGUUAGUGGUUUUGCCUUGAGGAUCUAUUUGUUGCUGUUGUUAUAUCUCUACCAUUUGGUCCUAUACAUAAAGCUUUGUUAGUAAAUGAAGGANNNNNNNNNNNNNNNNNNNNNNNNNNNNNNNNNNNNNNNNNNNNNNNNNNNNNNNNNNNNNNNNNNNNNNNNNNNNNNNNNNNNNNNNNNNNNNNNNNNNAAAAAAAACAAACUUCUUGUUAUACUUAUAAUUCUAAUUAUUUGAUAUUUCAAAUAAUAAAGUUAAUUAGAGCAUGAAAGAAAAAUUAAGAAAAAAAAAACUCAAUGAGUAAACUUUCAUCAACAGUAUGUAGGUGAUAAGAAAUAAUAAAAUUAAAAAUUUUGUUUCCAACAAAGCAUCUUACAUGGUUUAAGUGUGCCACCUCAUUCACCCAACCUUUUGUCUUGCUGAAAUGAGUGACACGAAAUAAUUCUAUUUCACCAUCAACCAUGUCAUCCUCAAGAUAAUUAACAAAAGGUCUUGAUCCCCCGCAAUGGACAUAUGGGAGCUUAGCAUGAUUAGCUUUGUUUUUGGUAGAUUGAGUCUACAUUAAAAAAAUAUAACAGUGGAAAAUAAGAUACAUAUACAAGCAUAUUGACAACUAGUUGGACAAUUUAAAGUUCAUAAUAUGAAUAUCAUUGGACCUGGAAACUUGCGGAAUUGCAAAUGUUAUGACAAAGCCAAGCCCAAUCAUCUGGACAUAUGCCCGGAUAUGAAUGCUUAAGUGCCUCUUCAAAGGAUGGAUAAUCCAAGUAAUGAUCAUACAUCCAAUGUCUCAUAUCGCGAUAUCUCCCACCCAUAAUGUUAUUCACACAUCGACGAACAUGUGGUAAGUUCAAAUCAAUCUCAAACUUUGACUGAAUUUAGGAAAAAAAAGAUAUCUCAGUUUAUAAUUUAAAAAAAUGACAGAUGAAGAAUAUUAAUAAUCAUAAGUACUUACUAAUAGUUGAUCAAACAAAACCUACCAAUUAAACUCUUUAAAUACCAAAUUCUAGAGUUGUAACAACACCUUGCACAAACUCUUGGCUGGGCAUAACAGGCUGAGAUUGGGGAAUUGUAGAUGCAACAACAAUUUUUGCUCUUACACGUUUGGUAACUCUAUGUCCAGGACCCAUCUAGUAAUUAUUAAAAAUAUACAUUAGAGUUUAUUAAUAAUCAACAUAAAAAUAAAUCAAGAAAACUAUAAUUUUGUCAAAGAAAUUAUAACAUGAAAGAUCCUAUUACUGGGCAUAGAUCCUACAUUCAUUUGACUAUUGUCCACAAACUCAGGUUCUUCACCAUGAAAAACCCAUGAAAAAUCCAUUAACUUUAAUUUAACAAAUUAAAAAUUGAAACAAAGACCCACUUAAUAAAUAAUUAAAGCAAAACCCACUAAACAAAAUCAAACUCAACAGGCCAAUAUAUAAAAUAAAACUAAAUUUACUUGAAGAAAUCGUUGUCUUCAGUGGUGCCUUCCAAGUACAACUCUUCAAUGGCUUAAAGCUUGGGUAGAGAGAAUGACUCCAUGGCAGGGCAAAAGAAACAAGCGACGAGUAAAGUGGAAAUAUUCUAGAAGCAAUACUUUAAUUAAGAAAAAAUUGGAGAUGGAAACUUUACUUCGGUUAGCACGCGGUUUAUUAAAUAAAGGGCGCAGAAAUAAAAAAUUAAAAAGCCUCCCACAAAGUCAUGUUUGCUUUUAUAUUAUCUUUAUAUUUUCAUUUAUUAAUUUAAUAUUUUUGUUAACCUUUGCGCAACAAAAUUAAUCUCAUUGCAAAAAACUCUGAGAGCACAAAACAAAUUUUCUCGCUAAUCACAACUUUUUGCAAUAUUUCAUUUGUUGCAAUUGAUUCAAGUGUUUGUUGUGGAAAAACUUGAGCAACGAAACAUAUUUUGCCUUCAUUAAGCUUGUUAGGCAACAAGAACACUUUUGUUGCCAAACAUAGCGUAGGGCAAGAAAAUAUUUUGUUGCCAUAUAUUCUAAUUUUCUUGCCUAUUCCACAUCAUUAAGAAGAACAAAAUCUGUUUAGCUAUAGCGAUAAAAACUAAUUUUUGUUGCAAGAUAUGAAUUUUAGCAAUAAAGUAAGUUUUGUUGCAAUAGAAUUUGUAGCCAAUACUCUAUUUUCUUGUGGUGUCAUUAAAAUUUUAUGUACUAAUUCUUUAGUAACCCAUUGUGGUAGAAUAUCCGUGUGAGAUUUUCGUAGAUUUUGCGCGUUUCCUACGCGUUCCUUCUAUUUCUCUAAGCAAAACUCUUCACAUCGCAAUGCCUAUUAUGUCAGCUUGACUUUUCAUAAGUGGAGACAAAAUAAAGCACCCAUUAUAAAGACAUUUAAUAAUUCUUCUUGAUUCAACACACUUCGACAGUAGUGUCCAAGUAGAUUCUUUUACUUUCUCUUGAACCAUAGUAAUAUUAUUUAUUAGAUCAUUAAGUCAUUUUAUUUCUUUUGAAAUCUAUUCAAUGUUUGUUUUUAUAUGCGUCUUUUUUUAAGGGGUCUCAACUAUUGUGUGGUAUAGGGACUAUAUCCUGUAUGAAAUUUUAAAGGAUAUUGUUAUAUUAGGCACCCUCAUUUUUAUUUUAUUUUUUCAUACGGACACAAAGUUAGAAUUAAUUUAGUGUUAAUAUAUUGCAUGGUUUUAUAGUUUAUUUAAAAAAUAACUUUAUUCUAUCUUAAGUAAUGUCCUCGAUUUGAAGCUAAAUACUUAUUGGGAGAGCUUUACGGCCCUAGUGGUCUUGCCCGACUCGAAUCUGAAUUAGUCAGGGGCCAAUGUAAUCUUCGGAUAUCAGAUGAUUUAAUAUACCAGAAAAAAAUAAUACACCGAAAAAAAUAAUUUUAUUAAACUGCACGACUUAAUACCAUGUUCGUAUUGAAAAAAAAUGAAAGUGUCCACACCUGAGAAUAAAAAUGAAAAUAAAAGCAAAUUGUAGACAUGCCAUAAUUAAUAACAAUUUGAUCAAUUAAUUAAUUGUUCUAACUAAAUUAGGCGACGAAGUCCACGUCUCCUAAAUCCACCCAACCUGAAUAUUUUUAACUAGGAUUUCAAAUUGUUUCAUCCUAAAAUUUAACACCAAGUAUUUGUAGUAAUAUUUUGAUGAAUAUGUUCUGCAAAUGUACAAUUAUUAUCCCAACUGAAAUUUGUGUCACUGAAUCCCAAUGAGCAACGCAGGCAUGAAGUCAUUGGUGUAGUGACAGAGGUUGGUAGCAAAGUAGAGAAAUUCAAAGUUGGUGACAAAGUGGGUGCGGGAUUCUUGGUCGGAUCAUGCCAUUCAUGUCACAAUUGUGCUAACAAUCUUGAGAAUUACUGUCCCAAACUUAUAGGGAUAGACAGUGGUGUCGAAUACUAUGAUGGAAUGAAAACGUAUGGAGGCUACUCUGACAUUAUUGUUGUGGAUGAGCACUUCACGGUUCGUAUUCCAGAUAGCCUUCCUCUUGAUGCCUGUGCCCCAAUGCUUUGUGCUGGUAUCUCAGUUUACAGCCCUUUGAGAUCCCAUGGACUUGACAAACCAGGUAUGCAUGUCGGUGUAGUUGGCCUGGGUGGAUUAGGCCAUAUGGCUGUCAAGUUUGCUAAAGCAAUGGGGGUUAAGGUAACAGUCAUUAGUACCUCCCCUAGUAAGAAGAAGGAUGCCAUUGAACGUCUCGGUGCUGACACAUUUCUGUUUAGUCAUGAUCCGGAUGAGAUGCAGGUAUGCUGCUCCCCAUAUUUUCCCUUUUUCCUCUCUAACUUGGUUUAUGAAUACAACGACUCUUAUUUCAGAAAAUUCUCUUUGCUAAUUUUGUUCACAUUGUCUGUGCAGUCUGCCGUGAGCACCUUGGAUGGUAUCAUUGACACAGUAACCGGCUUUCAUCCUCUAUUGCCAUUACUUGGACUACUGAAAUAUAAUGGCAAGCUUGUUAUUGUCGGUGGACCAGAUAAGCUAGAGCUACCGGUUCCUCUUCUACUCUUUGGUGAGCAAAUUAAUCACGAUUCUAGUAAGCUUCGCAGAUUGAAAAAAGAAGAUGAAAAGAUCCUUAACCUUGAGUCUUAGGCUACUGUGCGGCUAAUCAGUCAAUCAAGGACAAAGUCAUAGCCAACGCAUGCGUGUUCUUUUCAUUUCUGUUAAUCUGAAAAUAUAGCUAACAAAUGUUUUUGCAAUGCCAGGGGCAAAGGCUGUUGUCGGCUGUUUCGUUGGGGGCAUGAAGGAGACUCAAGACAUGCUCAAUUUUGCAGCCGAACACAACAUAACGGCAGACAUCGAGACUAUAUCAAUCGAUAAUGCGAACACUGCCCUGGAGCGUCUUGAGAAAGGCGAUGUCAGAUAUCGAUUUGUCAUCGACGUUGGGAACACACUGAAGUCUAGCUCUUAGAUAUUUGGCUGGAUCGGCUAUACUAUAUGAUGAAAUGUUGAGUCAUAUAUAAUUAGUAUCCUGUCGGCCGGAGGAUCCGGCUGUCUUCAGUUCUGAUUUCACUUUAUUAUUGCAUGUGUUAAAGAAAUAAUUUUAGAAAAUUCAGCGUCCUGCUGCCCUGGUAGUUAAAUGGCCUAGCUACAAGCUAAUACAGGUAGGGAUGGCAAUGGGGAGGGGAGGGGAUCAAUCUCCCUGUAUUUAUUUCUGAUAUUUUACGUAUGUCUAUGUCCCCGUCAGAAUUACUUGAAAGAAUUCUCAUCCCCUUCCCGAAUAAUAACAGGAGAUCCCCAAGGGUCCCCGAUCCCCGAAUAACUAAUACAUUUUUUUUAUUUUGAGUUAAUCAUAUUAAAAUAAAAAAUUCAAAUAAAAGUAAAGUUUGAAAUAUAUUUUACAUUAAUAUCUAUUACAAAAGUCACAUACAUUAAAUUAGUAAGUAACGCAAUAUGUAAGGUAUACAAACUUCUUUUACAAACUAUCGUGAAUAAAUUAAUAGUCUAACACAAAAUUGUUACAAAUAAAAUCGAAUUUAAAUUCAAAAUUAACUUUUUCAAUAGUGGCGUGGCACUUUAUAAAUGUAGAUUAUUCCCUUUACAACAUAAUAAUUAAGUCAGAGCAAAUCAAGAGUAAAUAUUAUAUUAAAUUAGAUUAGAUUAGAUUAAAUUAGAUAUUAAAAUUGUGAUUCGUUGUGAGCAAUUAUAACAUCUAAAAAUAAAUAAAAAAUAGAUUUAAGUUUAAAACAUUUAAUGAAUAUUAAAAUUAAAACAAAUUUUUUGGGCUAAUAGAAUUUACCCAGUUUUUUUAAUGUCCUACAUAAAAAGUUAGGACUUUAAUUAGUUAAUUAGGCCUAAAAGUUUAAUAUUAUAAAUAUUUUGAUAUUUGUUAUUUUUACCAAUAUUUAUAAUUUUAUAAUUCAAAUUUUAUCAUUUAUUUACUAGUAAUUUUAAAAAAUAAAAAUAAAAUUAAAAAUUAAAAUGAGAAAAUAGGUAGGGGAUGGGGAUUCCACCUCAUCACCGUCCCCUCCCUGAAUAAGAAAUUGGGUAAAAAAAUUUCCCCGUUCCUUUCCUGAAUAAGAAAUUGAGUAUGAAAUUAUCCUCAUACCCUCUCCGAAUGGGGAAAAUCUUCGAGAGUACCCUUUCCCGUGGAAAUUUUUAUCAUCCCUAAAUACAGGACGAUGAAUAGUGAUUAGUUAUUAAUAAAAUAUAAUAAGAAAUGGACCCUAACCAUACUGGAAUUUACACUGGUCAAGAGAAACUUCAAAGUUUAGGUAAGUUUAGAUCAAGACUGCCUGAUGUUAGAGUCUACAAUUAUCAUUUACUAGCUUUCAAACCUCAAUCAAGCGAUAAAAUUAUGCAUACGCUUACAAUUUAGCAAACUUAGUUAUAAAUUGUUUUAUUUCACAUAAACGUGCAAUCGUGGAUGUUCAUAAAACUUUGGACAUUGCUCAGCUUCUACUGACUGAAGUUUUUGACUAUUUGCUUCUACUUAGGUACUUCACAUAUUUUUGUAAAAUUAAUUUCUAAGUGCACCAUGCGCCCCCGAAUUACUUGGGAGCAGCUUUGCGCCUGAGUGUGAAAAAUCUAGAUUGUCAUGAUUGCAGUGUAAGAGUACCAUACACGUGUAGUCAACUAUUAAACAUGGCGCUAUCACGUCCGGCACAAGCGUUAUUCAAUCGCAACACCUUUACAGAUGGGUGGCUGCGGCGCUGUGGAUUUUUCAGUGCCACACAAAUAUCCUCUACAAUAUAAUAUGAUUAUUUCUUAUGGCCACAAACAUUCUCAAAAAGUUGAAAUAAAGAUUCAUUAGAGGGUUUUUUUUUUUUUUUUUUUUGGGAAGGGAAGAUCACUACCGGAAAUACCGAUAAAAGAAAAAUGACUAUAUUUCAAUUCUAAAUAAAUUUGUUUUUAGAGAGGCUUUCGAGGAUUUUUACUCCCACAAGUUACCGAAGACAUAUCACUUAUAAAAUUAAUUUUUUUUCAAUAUGUUUAAUAAAUAAAUUUUAAGUAUAAAAAAAUAUCAAUAUUCUCCCAGUUUAAAAAAAAUCAAUAUUCUCCCAGUUUAAAAUUAAUUGUUGGUGGUGUUGCUUUUGACAGGUAUCCAAUCCACCUUUGACUUUGUGGCACUAGAAAUUGAAUAAUAAUAAUAAUAAUAAUAAUAAUAAUAAUAAUGGUGAAGGUGACCCAAGAAAUAUUUCGUUGGUCCGCCAUGUCAUGGACGGUGCACAUCCAUACAUAGCGCAUCCGUAUGUCACAUGUUAGCUCACUGAUUACUUCAGCAAAAUUUAUGACCCCCUCUCUCCACCUCCCUGCUGUUAGCCUGUUCCCGAUAAUUAUUAUUUUUGAGAUGCUCGAAAAUAAUUUUAAAGUUAAAAAUUAAUUUUUUUUAUAUAUUAGGAAAAUUUAAAAUUGUUCAUAUUAAUUAUAAAAUAAAAUUAUUUUGAAGAGAUUAUUAUCAUUAUCAAUAAUAUUGAGAUAAAAAAAUUAUUAUAUAUAUUAUGUUUAUUAUUAAUUAUUAUAUAUACACAAUAAAAAUUAUUAUACAUAUAUUAAAAAUAUUUUAUUUAAUAUUAUAUCCAAUUUAGGAAUUAUCAAAAUUUUAAUUUACUCUUUUUUCAAUAAAUUAUUCUCCAUCACAUCUAAUAAUUAUUAUUUUAAAAAUUAUAAUAUUAUCAAAUUAGCCCUCAUUAUAUAUAAUUUUUCUCAGUUAGGACAUCUUCACUUUAUUAAGGUCAAAAUGUUAAAAAAAUACUAUAAAAAAACGCCUUUAAUGCAUUAAAAAGUUAAGAUUAUGUUUUUCUAUCCGUUAAUAACUUAAUAUAUUGAAAUCAUCACUAAAUCAGUUGAUGAAUCCACGAUUACACAGUUACAUUAGCUAAAUUUAACGACUAAAAAUAAUUAUGGUACCAUACUAUAGUUGCAACAUAGCUGAACUCCACUAAAUAAUGAAUAUAUUAAUAUGUUAAUAUAUUAUAAAAUAAAAUAUAUUAUAUUAAAUUUUAUAUUUAUAUUUUUUAAUUUGAUCUUCUCUUUAAUAUUUUUUUUGUCUUAACCACGAGGUGGAGGGGGCCUUAAUUGUGGGAGGUACUUUUAAACUCGUGCCACAACCCAGAUUAGAAGUCUCUGCUCGAAUCAGAAAGCAAAUGUUCUCCCAACAAAGGCGACUUCUUUGCGACUCGAACUGAGAAGCAAACUCAAUCAAAUCACUUAAAGAUGACUCCAUUACCAAUGAAUCCAACACUUUAUUGGUUAUCUUCUCUUUAAUAUAAUAAAAAAUGUUGAUUAGAAACAUAUGUACACACAUUAAUAUUCAUAUGAAACAAAAACAAAAACAGGUACUUUCACUCGUCUCAUCACGUCAUUCAAACCACUAUAAUAAUGAUAACAUUGCCGUUCUCUCAUCCAAAAUGGCAAAAUCACGAGAAGAAGAACAUCCAGUAAAGGCCUUUGGGUGGGCAGCCCGAGACAGCUCCGGCCAUCUCUCCCCAUUCAAAUUCUCCAGAAGGUAAUUAAUAGUUGAGCAUAAUAUAUGUGUGUGAUGCUGCUUUAAAUUUAUUUAAAAUUUUGUUGCUGCACGUGUUGAUGAAAUGGUCAUAAACAUGGAUAUGUAAAAUACGGACAGGGAAACGGGUGAUGAGGAUGUGAGGCUGAAGGUAUUGUAUUGUGGGAUCUGCCAUACUGAUCUCUCCAACAUCAAGAAUGAAUGGGGCUUCUCUCUCUUCCCUAUGGUUCCUGGGUAUGUACUCCUGAUCUAUCCAUCCUUCAAUUUUUGUUUCUUUUGCAUUUUUUUUCUUUUGUUUUUGUUUCGGAUCAAACCGAGCUGCGUAGUAACAGGCUGUUGUUUCCGUCACAGCGCUUCCUGAUUAUUAACUACGGUACUUUCCUGUGUAUACAGAAAGAAAUUAACCAAGGCCAUGGCUUUAGGAUCUUUUAAUUUGAUGCAAAUCGUUCCCCAUCCUAUUUAAUUCAAUCUUGUAUGGGGUUGCUAUUGAAAUAUUGGUAAUGAGGAUUUUAAUCUUACCGUUUCAUAUUUGAUGUGAUGAAUAACUGGAAUCUCCUGUUAAAAGUGACAAAUAUAUAUAUAUAUACGUGUCAUUUUCUUACAACAAAUUAAACAAAAAUAGAGACACGCAAAUUUUAAUAUAAUAUAAAAUAAAAUAUAUUGGAUGAAAAUAUGUAUUUUUCUUAUACAUUAUCUUCAUAACUCUUGGUAGAUUUAUACUCUCUAUCUUAUAAAUAAAGGGUGGAAAUAACAAUUAACUCAAUUAAAGCGUUCUUAGCAUAGAUAUCUUUUUUUUUCCAGUAAAAUUAAUUUAUUUCCAUUUGACUCUGUACAAUUUUUAAAUGUUCCAGUGUAGUGGCCAGUGGGGUGCCUUGGCAUCAUUAGAGUAGUGAGAUCACACUAAAGACUUAACCCAGCAAAAUGAAGACUUAUAACUUGAAUUUGCAUCUGUAAUUGUGGAAUAGUCAAUUAUGAGAUUUUCUUGAGAGAUAGACGAGGUUGACAAAUAAACGGAGACAUGACUUUUUUUUUUUUUUAAGAGAAUUAUUGCUCAUGAUAUUUACACCAUACAAAGUACUGAGACCAGUUUACAUCAAUUCUGAUAUGGUACUACUCAGAUUUUUUUACCCUCUCAAAUAUUCGAGGGACGUCUAACUCCCAUCCUAGGAGAACUAUGGCUCAUGAUAUUUACACCAUAUAAAUUACUGAGAUCAGUUUAUCUUAAUUCUAAUAUGGCAUCGCUUUGAUUUUUUAACCCUCUUGAAUAUUCGAGGGACGCCCACCUCUCAUCCUGGAAGAAAGACUGUCUUCACUCAAGCUCUAGGACUCCAAAGAAUGAAAUUUUAAAUUAAAUUCCUACAAUGCCUCUGCUGGGACUCAAACCAUUUCCCUCAUAUUUGUGAGGGAGUGGACUUGGGCUAAGCCAAGUGGUUAACGGAGACAUGACUUGUAACUUGAAUUUGCAUUCAAAUGAAGACUUGUAAAUUAUCAAAUUUCAAAUUUCUUUUCUUGAAGAAUUUUAUGAUCAAGAAACUUACUGACUAAAGAAAAGUUGGUGGAGUAGUGUAGUAUAUACGUUUCUAGAAGUUAGCUAAUUAUAUAUUGUCAAAAACAGAAUCAAAUACCUUGUUUCCACUAAAGUAAUUUAUCUUAAACAAAUUGUAUUUAUUUGCAGGCAUGAAAUUGCAGGGGAAGUGACAGAAGUUGGUAGCAAAGUAAGAAAGGUUAAAGUGGGAGAUAAAGUUGGAGUUGGAUGCAUGGUCGGUGCAUGCCACAGCUGCGAGAGCUGUGCCAAUGACCUUGAAAAUUACUGUCCGAAAAUGAUACUCACCUACAGUUCCAUUAACACUGACGGAACAAUCACAUACGGAGGCUACUCUGAUCACAUGGUUGCCAAUGAGCGCUACAUUGUUCGAUUCCCUGAUAGCAUGCCCCUUGAUGCUGCUGCCCCCCUGCUUUGCGCCGGGAUUACCGUGUACAGUCCAUUGAAAUACUUUGGACUAGCAGAACAAGGAAAGCAUGUAGGCAUCGUUGGCCUUGGCGGGCUUGGUCAUGUCGCUGUCAAAUUUGCCAAGGCUUUUGGGGCCAAAGUGACAGUAAUUAGCACCUCUCCAAGCAAGAAGACUGAAGUUCUUGAACAUCUUGGCGCUGAUUCAUUUUUGAAUAGCCGUGACCCUGACCAAUUGCAGGUAAUUUAAUUAGAUUCACGCAUAUAUUGGAGAAAAAUAAAAAAUAAAAUGCAUUCCUUAAUUUUAAUAUAUAUUUUGUAAUAACUUCAUCAGGGUGCUAUGGGCACAUUGGAUGGUAUUAUUGACACGGUGUCCGCUGUGCACCCCAUUUUGCCAUUGGUCGGUCUAUUAAAGUCCCAGGGCAAGCUUGUUCUGGUUGGUGCUCCGGACAAGCCACUCGAGCUACCUGUGAUUUCCUUAAUUAUGGGUAAGUUCUAACAAAAUUCUUCGGAAACUUGUGGUCUAAAACUUGUAAUUAAUAUAAUUCAUUUGAUAACAUAAAAUGACAUAGCAGGGAGGAAGACGGUGUCAGGGAGCAGCACUGGGGGAAUGAAAGAGACGCAAGAGAUGAUUGAUUUUGCAGCAAAACACAAUAUAACAGCUGACAUUGAGGUUAUUUCGAUGGAUUAUGUCAAUACGGCAAUGGAGAGGCUUGCCAAGGCUGAUGUUCGGUAUCGAUUUGUCAUUGAUAUUGCAAACACCUUGUACGCCACCAAACCUUGAAGAAUCAGAAUCAGAUUGAUGUCUUCAAUUCACAACCUUGUUCCAUGAUCCACUUUGCUAUAUGUAAUGCUCCCUCGAUCAUUACACUCUUUUAGCGCUUAAAUUACUUUUAAUUUCCAGUUACAUCGACCCUAAUUAUGUCGUGAUUGCCGAAAAACUAUAAAUGUUAAUGAAAUAAAACAUUGUUCAUAUAAAAUAUUUAGCAUAUGUACCUUUCACCAAUUGUCCAGUCGAAAUGUUUGUUUUUGUUCUAAAUCACAUAUAGAGUUUUGCUCUCAUGCGGCACUUUUCAUUUUUUGUUCUUCUCAUACCAACGCUAUCCAGUCAUAUAAUUCAAUAAAAUUAGUAUCGAUGGCAGAAAUCUAUAAAAUCAUAUUCGCAAAGGUACGUAGCAACAGCAGCGUCUAGGUUCCUCUGACCUUGAACAAAAAUAUACGAUUGGUCUAAAUAACUCAUGAAUUCAUAUCACAAUUUUCAACACUGCAUGUAUGUUUUCCAGCAGAAAAUUUCUUAGGAUUAGGGUUUAGUGCUAUGUUGAAUUUUUAUCGAGUAUUGAAUCAAUCAUUGAAUUAAUAGUUAUAAUUGUUUUAAAUUUUUCAAUUUUUACAAUUUCUUCUAUUAAUAACUAUUGAUUCAAUAUUCAGUAAAAAUUUAAUUUAGCGCGCAAUCCUUAUUCGACUUUGCAACCAAAGAAAACAAACAAAACUUCAUCCGUCAAUGGAAGCAUUUUCUUAGGACCUCACGGUUCACCCCCAAUGUUGAUGCAUGGUGGAUGAUUCUAUCAAGAUGAAUAUAGUUCAAGUUUUACCACCCCAUCAAAUCUAUCAUGAAAUUUCAUUUAUUCUUUUUUUUUUUUUGGUAGAUCUUAAUAUGUACUAUGAUUGAAAAAGAGAGAGAGAGAAUAGUAAAAUCCAUAUUUAAAAUGGUAUGUGGUAUGUACAUAGUAGUACAUGAUCUAUAAUGGUAUGUAUAUGAUGUACAUGAUAUGAUCUAAUCUCUGCUUGUGUACAUUAUGAAAUGUAAUAUUUUUAUCAUAUUUAGGAGGAUAAACGUCUUAUUAUUUAAGAUAAUAAUUGUUAAUGUGUACAUUAUAAAUACUCAUCAUCUGGUUAUUCUAGAAGGCUCUUUGAUAGGAUUCUAUUGGUAUUUGAAAAAAAAUAUCAAUAUUCUCCCACUUUAAUUAAUUUUUUUCCAAGAUGUUUAAUAAAUAAAUUUUAAGUAUAAAAAAUAUCAAUAUUCUCCCAGUUUAAAAAAAUUCACAAAAAAAAAUUAUUUUUAAAAAUAAUUACACAAAUUUAUUAUUAUUUUUAUUUAAUUUAAAUUUAACUGCAAGAUUUUUAAAAAUUCAAAAGAAUUUAAAUUAAGAAAAGAUCUUAUCUUUUUAAAAAUAUAUAAAUUUAAUUUUUUAUUCAACAAUAGUUAUACAAUACCUUAUGAUCUUCUUUUAUGUUAAAAAGUAAAAAAACUACAAAAUUCACAUUAGCCUUUAAAAUUUAUCAAAAAAAAUAUUUGUAAUUAUUUAAAAAAAAAUCAAAAUUUUUGUGAUCAUUAAUUCCAACGAAUCAGCGCGCUGGGUUCUCAUUUUGCCGUAAGUCUCAUAAUGGUUGUUGGUGGUGUUGCUUUUGACAGGUACCCCACGUUUGAGUUUGUGACACUAGGAAUUGAAUAGUAAUAAUAAUGGUGAAGGUGACCCAAGAAUUACCUUUGCUGGUCCGCCAUGUCAUGGACGGUGCACAUCCAUACAUAGAGCAUCCGUAUGUCACAUCUUAGCUCACUGAUUACUUCAGCAAAAUUUAUGACCCCCUCUCUCCACCUCCCUGCUGUUAGCCUGUUCCCGAUAAUUAUUAUUUUUGAGAUGCUCGAAAAUAAUUUUAAAGUUAAAAACUGAUUUUUUAUAUAUAUUAGGAAAUUUUAAAAUUAUUCAUAUUAAUUAUAAAAUAAAAUUAUUUUGAAGAGAUUAUUAUCAUUAUCAAUAAUAUUGAGAUGAAAAAAUUAUUAUAUAUAUUAUGUUUAUUAUUAAUUAUUAUAUAUACACAAUAAAAAUUAUUAUACAUAUAUUAAAUAAAUUUUAUUUAAUAUUAUAUCUAAUUUAAGAAUGAUCAAAAUUUUAAUUUACUCUUUUUUCAAUAAAUUAUUUAUGCAUCACAUCUAAUAAUGAUUAUUUUAAAAAUUAUAAUAUUAUCAAAUUAGCCCUUAUUAUAUAUAUUUUUUUCUCAAUUAGGACAUCUUCACUUUAUUAAGAUUAAGAUGUUAAAAAAAUAUUAAAAAAAUAUCUCGUCUUUAAUGCAUUAAAAAAUUAAGAUUAUAUUUUUCUAUCCGUUAAUAACUUAAUAUAUUGAAAUCAUCACUAAAUCAGUUGUUAAAUCCACGAUUACACAGUUAUAUUAACUAAAUUUAACGGCUGAAAGUAACUGUGGUACCAUAUUAUAGUUACAACAUAACUGGACCUCACUAAAUAAUGAAUAUAUUAUAAAAUAAAAAAUUUUAUAUUAAAUUUUAUAUUUAUAUUUUUUAAUUUAUCUUCUCUUUAAUAUAAUAAAAAAAACUUGAUUAGAAACAUCUGUACACACAUUAACAUUCAUAUGAAGCAUAAACAAAAACAGGUACUUUUACUCGUCUCAUCACAUCAUUCAAACCAAUACAAUAAUGAUAACAUUGCCGUUCUCUCAUCAAAAUGGCAAAAUCACCAGAAGAAGAACAUCCAGUAAAGGCCUUUGGGUGGGCAGCCCGAGACAGCUCCGGCCAUCUCUCCCCAUUCAACUUGUCGUGCGAGUUCAUUAAGUACUUUCUCUUAUUUUAUUUUAAGAAGGACAAAAGUAACUAAACCAUUUUGUUACUGUACGUGUUGAUGAAAUGGUCAUAAACGUGGAUAUGUAAAAUACGGACAGGGAAACGGGUGAUGAGGAUGUGAGGCUGAAGGUAUUGUAUUGUGGGAUCUGCCAUACUGAUCUCCACAACAUCAAGAAUGAAUGGGGCUUCUCUCUCUUCCCUAUGGUUCCUGGGUAUGUACCCAUGAUCUAUCUACCCUUCAAUUUUUGUUUCUUUUGCAUUUUUUUUUGUUUCGGGUCAAACCCAGCUACGCAUGAACAGGCUGUUGUUUCCGUCACGGCGCUCCCUAAUUAUUAACUACGGUACUUGCCUGUGUAUGCAGAAAGAGAUUAACCAAGGCCAAGGCUUUGGGAUCUUACCGUUCCAUAUUUGAUGUGAUGAAUAACUGGAAUCUCCUGGUAAAAGUGACAAACAUAUAUAUUUACGGGUCAUCAUCGUUUAAUAAGAUUUUCUUACAACAAAUUAAACAAAAAUAGAGACACACAAAUUUUAAUAUAAUAUAAAAUAAAAUAUAUUGGAUGAAAAUAUGUAUUUUUCUUAUACAUUAUCUUCAUAACUCUUGGUAGAUUUAUACUCUCUAUCUUAUAAAUAAAGGGUGGAAAUAACAAUUAACUCAAUUAAAGCGUUGUUAGCAUAGAUAUCUUCUUUUUUUCCCAAUAAAAUUAAUUUAUUUCCAUUUGACUCUGUACAAUUUUUAAAUAUUCCAGUGUAGUGGCCAGUGGGGUGCCUUGGCAUCAUUAGAGUGUGGAGAUCACACUAAAGACUUAACCCAUCAAAAUGGUACACCUGUGUAAUUGCGGAAUGGUCAAUUAUGAGAUUUUACUUGAGGGAUAGACGAGGUUGACAAAUAAACGGAGACAUGACUUGUAACUUGAAUUUGCAUUCAAAUGAAGACUUGUAAAUUUUCAAAUUUCAAAUUUCUUUGCUUGAAGAAUUUUAUGAUUGAGAAACUUACUGACAAAAGAAAAGUUGGUGGAGUGGUGUAGUAUAUACGUUUCCAGAAGCUAGCCAGUUAUAUAUUGUCAAAAACAGAAUCAAAUACCUUGUUUCCACUAAAGUAAUUUAUCCUAAACAAUUUGUAUUUAUUUGCAGGCAUGAAAUUGCAGGGGAAGUGACAGAAGUUGGCAGCAAAGUAAGAAAGGUUAAAGUGGGAGAUAAAGUUGGAGUUGGAUGCAUGGUUGGUGCAUGCCACAGCUGCGAGAGCUGUGCCAAUGACCUUGAAAAUUACUGUCCGAAAGUGAUACCCACCUACACUUCCAUUAACACUGACGGAACAAUCACAUACGGAGGCUACUCUGAUCAAAUGGUUGCCAAUGAGCGCUACAUUGUUCGAUUCCCUGAUAGCAUGCCCCUUGAUGCUGCUGCUCCCCUGCUUUGCGCCGGGAUUACCGUGUACAGUCCAUUGAAAUACUUUGAACUAGCAGAACAUGGAAAGCAUGUAGGCAUCGUUGGCCUUGGUGGGCUUGGUCAUGUCGCUGUCAAAUUUGCCAAGGCUUUUGGGGCCAAAGUGACAGUAAUUAGCACCUCUCCAAGCAAGAAGACUGAAGCUCUUGAACAUCUUGGCGCUGAUUCAUUUUUGAAUAGCCGUGACCCUGACCAAUUGCAGGUAAUUUAAUUAGAUUCACGCAUAUAUUGGAGAAAAAUAAAAAAUAAAAUGCAUUCCUUAAUUUUAAUAUAUAUUUUGUAAUAACUUCAUCAGGGUGCCAUGGGCACAUUGGAUGGUAUUAUUGACACAGUGUCCGCUGUGCACCCCAUUUUGCCAUUUGUCGGUCUAUUAAAGUCCCAGGGCAAGCUUGUUCUGGUUGGUGUUCCGAACAAGCCACUCGAGCUACCUGUGAUUUCCUUAAUUAUGGGUAAGUUCUAACAAAAUUCUUCGGAAACUUGUGGUCUAAAACUUGUAAUUAAUAUAAGUCGUUUGAUAACAUAAAAUGACAUAGCAGGGAGGAAGACGGUGUCAGGGAGCAGCAUUGGGGGAAUGAAAGAGACGCAAGAGAUGAUUGAUUUUGCAGCAAAACACAAUAUAACAGCUGACAUUGAGGUUAUUUCGAUGGAUUAUGUCAAUACGGCAAUGGAGCGACUUGCCAAGGCUGAUGUUCGGUAUCGAUUUGUCAUUGAUAUUGCAAACACCUUGGCCGCCACCAAACCUUGAAGAAUCAGAAUCAGAAUCAGAUUGGUGUCUUCAAUUCACAACUUUGUUCCAUGAUCCACUUUGCUAUAUGUAAUGCUCCCUCGAUCAUUACACUCUUUUAGCGCUUAAAUUACUUUUAAUUUCCAGAUACAUCGACCCUAAUCAUGCCGUGAUUGCCAAAAAACUAUAAGGGUGCGUUUGGCACACUAUAU